This 88792-nucleotide long non-coding RNA is filed under the name Triticum aestivum (bread wheat). RNAcentral describes it as "long non-coding RNA (TAES_LNC020779)". The record is from RNAcentral. Lineage: Eukaryota; Viridiplantae; Streptophyta; Magnoliopsida; Poales; Poaceae.
GAAAAAAUUGGUCCAAGAAACUAGAUGAUGCAUUGUGGGCCUAUAGAACUGCAUAUAAAAAUCCUAUGGGUAUGUCUCCGUAUAAAAUGGUCUAUGGAAAAGCAUGUCACUUACCUCUUGAACUAGAACACAAGGCUUAUUGGGCUAUUAAAGAACUUAAUUAUGAUUUUAAACUUGCUGGUGAAACGAGGUUAUUUGAUAUUACCUCACUUGAUGAAUGGAGAACCCCAAGCUUACGAAAAUGCCAAGUUGUUUAAAGAAAAAGUUAAAAGAUGGCAUGAUAAAAGGAUACAAAAGCGUGAGUUUAACAUAGGUGAUUAUGUACUGCUAUACAACUCUCGUUUAAGAUUUUUUGCAGGAAAACUUCUCUCUAAAUGGGAAGGCCCUUACGUUAUCGAGGAGGUCUAUCGUUCCGGUGCCAUAAAAAUCAACAACUUCGAAGGCACAAAUCCGAAGGUGGUGAACGGUCAAAGAAUCAAACACUAUAUCUCAGGUAAUCCCAUAAAUGUUGAAAUCAAUGUUAUUGAAACCGUAACCCCGGAGGAGUACAUAAAGGACACUUUCCGGAAUGUUUCAGACUCCGAAAAGGAAUAGGUAUGUAGUACGGUAAGUAAACCGACUCCAAAACAGUUUUUAAGGCAAUAUUUCUCCAUUUUGGAAUAUUUAGAAAAAUAGAAAAAUAAGCAGCAGACUGGAAAGGACAUGAGGGUGGAGGGCGCGCCCUACCCCCCUGGGCACGCCCCUCACCUCGUGUGCUCUCUGGACUCCGUUUUCUUACAGGACACGUAUCUUGGCCAGUAAAAAUUCAUUAUAUAACCUCCCGGGGGUUUUGACUCCCGUAUCACGCAAAAAUCUCCUGUAUUUGUUUCGAGCUGUUUUUCUGACAGAUCUAGAUUAUCAUGACGUAUCUAAGUGCUCCCAAGGACAAGUUCUUCGAGAAGGUCAUCAACCCUUGCCUCGCGGAGGUGCAGCGACACCCUCAAACCAUUGAGAUGCGUGAUGGGUUGCUGCACAUCUGUUGAAAGAACAUGCGGUGCCCCCAUGUUUGGUUUUGGUAAUUGAUGACAUUCUCUAUGGACUAAUGGUUGCCUUGAGUUAUAUUUGAAGGUUUUGUUCAUAGGAUUGUCUUGAAGUCCAUGUGUUGGUUUCAAGGAGUUUAUGAGAUGGCCAAAGUGCUUUUCAAGGAAUUAUCCAAAGAUUGGUCAUGUGUGAGUUGAGAUGGCCAAAGUGCUUUUCAAGGAAUUAUCCAAAUAUUGGUCAUGUGUGAGUUGAGCUUAUUGAAAGCAUGUCUUGAAGAACAAGAUUGUGUGAUCAUUCAUGUUUACCUUCAAGACAUCAUCCAAAUGAUGAGAGUUGGAAAGAGUCAAUGUUGAUCAAGACUAAGUCAAGAGUGAAUCAAGUUGAUCAACUCACAAAGCGUAGAAGAAGUACCGAGAGGGAUCAAGUGAUCCCAUGGUAUGGUAAGCAUUGUCCAUUACGCUUUGUGUACUAACCCAUGGUCUACGUGAGAGUUCUUUGUGGGGUUAGGUAUGUUUCCAUGGUCUUGCGUCAAGAGGAAGAUGUCAUACAACCCAUGGAGGAUGACAUCAAGUGGUGAUCGUCAUCAAGUUUGCAGUGUGCAAGUUCAAGUGGAGCAACUCGAAGAGUGGCUCACCCUAAUGGAGUAUGGGGGAGCAAUCAAGCUUGAAGCUUGUCGUCCAUUGUGGUGUCAAUGGAAUUGUGAAGAUGUGCCAAAGAGUGGCUCACCCAUAGUGGAGUAUGGGGGAGCAAUCAACUAGUCUUCAUCGAGCCAACACAAUCAAGAAAGGUGGUCCAACUUGAGGAAGUCAAGAUCGUCAUCAUCUAGCUCAAGUGGACUAUGUGCAAGGCAAAGGUUUGCCCUUGAUAGGUUUUCUAUUUUACCGGUCUCAUAGUGGUAGUUGGGAGACCGGGUUGUAGGAUCGAUUGCCGUACUAUCAAGGGGGGCUCUCUAGGGAGUAGCUUGAUCGUAUCAUUCGUCGAGAGCUCAAACCAUUGCAUCCUUGCAUCAUCUUUUGGUUCUAGUUUGGUUCCUUUUGUGAGUCUUAGAGCUUAUGGUCAUCUUGAUGACAAGCUUGAGUUCAUCGAAAAUGGAGUUCGCAUGCAUCUUCUAUGAUGUUUUCGGUGUUGGAGGUUUUACCGGUCUUAUCCGAGGAAGGGUUCUCACCAUUUUUUAUGGUCCUUUUCUCAUUUGCUUCUUAUUGAUAUUUCUCUCAAGAUUGUGUUAGCCCUUGUCGUGAGCUUUCCAACAAAUUUGGUUUUGUCGAAUUCGGAGCUCGUAUGGGAAAGUUGUGGCUGUUUUGAUUUUGCCUGGUUUACACAGAGAGGUUGUACCGCCCCAUGGAGAGGUUGUACCGCUUGACCGGUACAACCGGUGUUUGGAGAGGUUGUACCGCUCCAGAAUUGGUCCGGAGGUUGUACCGGUCAUGUACCGCUCUACCACCGGACUAGUCUCUGUUGUGGUGCGGUUGUUGGGCGGUUGUGGGCCGGUUGUACCGCUUAUUGCCUGUUACCGGUUGUACCGGUGCUCAUAGAGGUUUUACCGCUCCUAUGUUGUUCUGUACAUAACGGGCAGAUUCGUGGGGACCUAUUUAAGGGGGUCUUCUUCCCCAAUGGUUCCCCAUCUCUUGAGCUCGUUUUUGCCCCCAUCGUUGACCUUCUUUGAGCUUGCUAACUCUCAAUCCCUCCAUGGAUUCUUGCUAGUUUUUGAGGGAAAAGAGAGAGGAGAUCUAGAUCCACAUUUCCACCAAUCACUUUCUCCUCUAUGUGAGGGGAACCCCUUGGAUCUAGAUCUUGGAGUUCUUGGUGUUCUCCUUCUUGUUCUUCCUCUCAUUUUCCUCCCUAGCAUUAGUUGCUCCGGUGGGAUUUGAGAGAGAAGAACUUGGGCACUCUGUGUGCCCUUGCCAUUGCAUUUGGUGCAUCGGUUUGAGUUCUCCACGGUGAUACGUGGAAGUGAAGUUUGAGAAGCUUAUUACUCUUGGGUGUUUGGGCACCCUAGAGCUUGUUCCUCUUGGGUGCCUUGGCGCCCUAGACGCUUGGUGUUGUUUGGAGCUCAAUCAUUGUGGUGUAAAGCUCCGGGCAAGCGUCGGGGUCUCCAAUUAGGUUGUGGAGAUCGCCCUGAGCAAUUUGACGGGUACCGGUGACCGCCCCCAAGGGUUGCCAAAGUGUACGGGUUCGGUGACCGCCCCCAAGGGUUGCCAUUUGUAUGGGUUCGGUGACCGCCCUCAAGGGUCCCUUAGUGGAAUCACGGCAUCUUGCAUUGUGCGAGGGCGUGAGGAGAUUACGGUGGCCCUAGUGGCUUCUUGGGGAGCAUUGUGCCUCCACACCUCUCCAAACGGAGAUUAGCAUCCGCAAGGGUGUGAACUUCGGGAUACAUCAUCGUCUCCGCGUGCCUCGGUUAUCUCUUACCCGAGCUCUUUACUUAUGCACUUUACUUUGUGAUAGCCGUAUUGUUUCUUGUCAUAUAUCUUGCUACCACAUAGUUGCUUAUCUUGCUUAGCAUAAGUUGUUGGUGCACAUAGGUGAGCCUAGUUGUUUUAGGUUUUGUGCUUGACAAAUUAACCGCUAGGUUUAUUCCGCAUUUGUUCAAGCCUAAAUCGUAAUUAUUUUAAAACGCCUAUUCACCCCCCCUCUAGGCGACAUCCACGAUCUUUCAAUUGGUAUUAGAGCCUCGUCUCUCUUUAUUUGGCUUUACCGCCUAGAGAGUAAAGAUGUCGACUAGGGGAUUAGGAUUCUCUGACACUCUUAGUUUCGAUGGCACAAAUUUUGAUGUUUGGGUAAUUCGCAUGCUUAAUCUCUUUAGGGUCAUGGACCCAAAUUUAGAACAAAUUGUAGAUAUGGGUUUUUCUCCUCCAAAGGAUCCCCAAAGAUUAUCUUUAGAGGAUGAGAAAAACUCUUAUCUCAAUGCUCAAGCUUCUAAUGUGCUUUUCGAUGCUUUGAGCAAUGUAGUUAUAUUUCAACUCAUGCCGUUCCGGGAUGCUCAUGAGUUGUGGACGAAGCUUCAAGAAAAAUAUGGUGUGUCCAAGAUUUGUGGGGAUGAUUGUUCUCCCUCCACCUCCGGUCAUAUAGUCUUCUCAACUUCUUCUACUUCACCUACAUGUGGUUUGCCACAAGGUAAUGAUAUGGUGAGUAGUGUUGGUCAUUGCAAUGAUGAUAGUAUGCUUAUUGUGGAUGAUCCUUCAUCACUAUCUUAUUGCAAUGCUCCUUCUUUGGGCUUUAACACUUCGAGCACUCGAAAUGCUUCAUAUGCUUGUGUUGAUAGUCCUUUCAUAUCAUGUAGAAAUUGCUUGACUAAAUCUCAUGAUGAUAUGUUUACUAUGUCUUGUUGCCAUGAUAAAAAAUGCAUAUAUUUCCUCGAAUUGUUGUGCUAACAAUGUAGAGGAAACCCAACACCCCAUGGAACAAGAUGUGGUCUUGAAUGGUCCUUCAACGGAUCCUACAUCAUCAUCUAUUGAAUUUUGCCUUAUGGCCAAGGCUUCAAAGGUAUCUCCCACUUUGAAUCCCAAUAUAUCUUGUGAUGAUAUUGAUGAUGGCAAGAGUGAUGAUGAUGUUGAUUAUGAUGAAGAGAAUGAUGAUGUUGCCUACUUAAAAUUAAGGGGGAAAUGAUUUUUAAAGCUCUUCUUAAGAAUAAAAUUGCUCGUUCCAACUUCAUGGAAAUCAUGUCUAUUGCUAUUGAGGGCAAGAAAUAUAUUUAUGAGUUGGAAUCUCUUCUUGAGGAGCAUGAGGUCACCAUUGAUCAAAUGGAAGGUCAUGAGCGUGAUUACGCUAAUGAGAUUGUGGACCUCUCUCAAGCUCUUGAACUUGAACAAACCACCAAGGAAUCUCUUGAGGAGACUUUUGCUCUAGAAUUAUCUAGAGUGAGGGAAUCUCAUGAUAGAGCUCUUGAGGUGGCCAAUGAUUUUGAAACUAAAAAUGAGGAGCUUGAAGUUGCGCAUGCUAAACUCCUUGAGGACUUUGAGCACCUCAAAAAUGGCUCAAGGGUCAUUAAGGGUGAGCUCAUCAAACUCACCGAGUCUCAUGCUCAACUUAAAGCUUCUUAUUCAAAAGAGCUUGCCAAGGUGUCUUCUCCUCUUGUUGCUAAUGAUGAUGCUUGUGCUACUAACUCUAUCUCUUGUGAAGCAUCCAUAUUGAAGGAGAAUGUUGAGCUUCGGGCUCAACUUGAGUUGCUAUCUAGCAAUUAUGGGAAAUUGGAAGAAAACCAUGAAAAGCUCUCAAGCUCUCAUGAUGAUCUUCUAGUAUCCCAUAAUGAGCUAAAGAUAUCUCAUGAGGCCAUGAUUUCUAAGGUAACAUCUAGUGAGCCUCAUGUGGAUACUAGCACUAAUUCUAGUCAAAAUGAUAUAUUGCCAUGUGCUAGUCCUUGUAAUUCAUCUACUCACAAUGUUGGUACAUAUUGUGAUGAAUUGCUUUCCUUGCCUUGUUGCUCUAACGAUGAAGCUUAUACUUCCUCUAGUACUUGUGUUGAGACUAACCAUGUAGAGGAAAUCAAAGAGCUCAAGGCCCAAGUCACUUCUUUGAAGAAAGACUUGGGAAAGAGUCAUGAAGGGAAAUCCACACUCAACAAUAUCUUGAGUGUGCAAAAAUCCCCCAAUGACAAAGGUGGACUUGGAUUCAACUCCAACAAGAAGAAGAAGUCCAAGGUGAACAAAAGGAAGGGCCAAGAACAAGUCAAGAAUUCGGCCAAGAUUGUUUGCUUCAAGUGCAAAGUAGAAGGGCAUCAUGUUAGAUCUUGCCCAUUGAAGAAGAAGCCCAUUAGUGACAAGCAACAAGGGAAGCGGCCACAAGUACACUCUCAUUCUCAACCUCAAGUUGAAGGAAGGUCUGUUCCCAAGAAGACUCAAGCUUAUGCUUCUCAAGUUGAGAAAUCAAGUGAGAAGAAAGUGAAGAGUAGAUGUUGCUACCUAUGUCGCGAGAAAGGUCACCUCGCCUCUUCAUGCACUAGUGGUAACUUAUCCAACCCAAUUAUUAUUGAUGAUGUCUAUUCUCUUGGGAAGGAUAAGGUUGGCAAUGUGGUUGCCAAGUUUGUUGGUACUCAAAGUGGUUUGAAGCAAAGAACCAUUUGGGUAGCCAACCUAUUGUGACUAACCUCUUAGGACCCAACUUGGUUGGGGACCAACAAGCUCAAACUUGAUCAAUAGGUGAUGUUGGAGGUCAUUGGAGACUUGGCUACAUUAUGAAGAAUUAAGGGUACUUCAUCAUUCUUAUUGUCUCAAGCCAAGUCAAGUGAAUCAUCAAGAUUAUAUCUUAUAUCCAAUGUGCCUCCUUGCGGUAACUUGUACCUCAAUUGCUUACAUUGAAAGUUACUUGCCCCCUUGCAUGUUUUGGUUUUGUUCCUUGCAUGUGUUUGUAUAUGUUAUGCUUCCAACUUGAUUAUCUUGAGCAAUCAAGUAUGUGUGUGUUGGUUUGCACAUCAUGUACGUGUGUGUCAUGCGUUGAGCCUUUUGCAUCUUGUUUAUUUCUUAGUUGGCUCUUGUGAGAGAUUAAUGGAAUAUCCCAUUAUGGGGGAGUGAUGUGCUUUGUGCACUUCACAAUCCUAUAAAGGUGGGUACAUGGGGAAUACCACUUAGUAUUGAUAUUGCAAGCUUAUCUAGUCACUAUGUGGUAUGUCUUCUCAUGAGAAAUUCAAAUUCUAGAUAGUCCAUUCAUUAUCUCUUGUUGGAUCCUUUAAUUGCCUCUUGUCUAUCUUUAAUUGGUAUCACAUUAUGGGGGAGUAAUAUGCUAUGUGUAUAUUACUAGCCUAGAAAAUGUGUAAAUUUGAGAUAUUGUCAUCUAGAGUUGAUAUUGUAAAUUAUCUUGUUCCUAGGUGGCAUGUUAGCUCUACAAGUUGCAAUUUGCUUUUUGUAUGGUGUGAAGAUGAUGUCGGAUAUCCUUGCUAUCUACCACCGGGAAUUAUUUCCAUUUACUUCUUGUCUUUUGACAAUUGGUACUCACUUUUGUGGUAGAAUUUAUUGAUCAUCUUUACAUUGGAUUUUGUUUUUUAUUUGCCAUUUCUCUUGCCAAGGAUUGUAUCAUCUCCCUUUGUCUUCCAUACCACUUGUCGAUCCUGUUUAGUGUUUUCUAGAUAUAGUGAAAGUGGUGAUCCCACCUUGUGCAAUUUGUAUUCAAAUGCAAAUUCUCUCAAUGCACUAGUCUUGGGGGAGCUAUCCUAUUUUCUAUAAAACACUAGUCUUGCGAUCCUUAUCAAGUGUGUGUUGGUGGAAGGCAAGCCGUUUUCAUUUUGGUACUUUGUGCCAUCAUGAAACUUUGUAGAGAGCUUGGUUUGUUUGGAACCAUCCUCUCUUUUGGGAGUUUGAUACCUUUUUUUGAGUGUAUCAAUGGAUAUCUCAUUCCUUGAUGUAUCUUUUAUGGAUAUCCUCCAAGUGAUGUUUUAUUCAUUUGGUAUCUUUUCUUCACUUGGUUUUUCUUUGUCAUUUGGUAUCGGUUCUUGAAAGUCUUGAGCGUCCAUAUUAACUUCAUGUAGUAUCUUUGGCAUGCUUUCUUUCUUUGACCCAAUAUAUAGGGGAAACUCCACCAAGUCUCAAAUUGGAUGAGAUGUGCAUGAAUUUCAUUUCCUUUUCUAUAUGCACAUAUUUAUGUGGAGUUUGUCCUAUGUAUUGUUGGUGUUUCUAACUCUUUGGUCACAAUGAGUUUGGGUACCAUUUUGUUUGUGUUGUUGUUCUAGGAACAAUUGGAGAUGCAUUGGAUGCUCGGCUCACUCACAAGGAAGGUGGUGUCACCAUGUACUUAUUGGAGUCAAGCUAGGAUGAUCAAUGAACUACUAUCUACCUUUAAUUGGUAUCUACUACAUCCUUCCAAUGAUAUCUCGGUAACAAGUAUCUCUUCAUGCAUUCUUCCUUGCUUUCAACCUUGUGUAGGUUGCAUCUUAGCAUGAUAUUCAUUCCAUCUUCUGAUACUUGUUUCCUUUCUCAAAGCAUCUCAACGAUGAUCUCAUGUUGCUAGUUGUGAUGUCUUUGAUAGUUGUGUAGUAGGAAUUCAUUUAUAUACAACAAGACCAUAUCUAGCCAUGUGCUAUGAUUUCAAGCAAAUAUCUUAUUGGUAUAUUUAUGAUUUCCUUGUGGAUAUCUUGUUCCUCUUGUUGCAACUAUUUCGGGUGUACAUCCUUCUUUGUAGAUAUAUCAUCAUGAUUUCGUCUACCUAGAAUCUUAUACACUUGAGAGAAGUUGCAUAUCUAGUUGAUAUCCUUUCUUUCACAUCCACCUUAUCUUUCCUAUGUUAUUUCUUUGGUGGCUCCGUGAAAGCUUUUGCCUUGAGUGCGUGUCUUCUAUCGUUGCAUCUUGAUGCGCUCUUGUGUGGUGAAGAUUAUUUUCCUCAUGCUUAUCUUUACGAGGUUUUUGCCAUCUUAAUUGGCAUCCCUCGUCUUGAUGCACCUUUCAUCUUCUAUCUUCACCGCAGGUUGUCACAAGCAUAGGUUCUCUAUAUGCUUAUUAGUAAGCUUGUGAACCCAUCUGCUAGUUGUGUGUGGGAAUGAUAGGCCAUGCACCGUGUGCCUCAUUCUUUGAAGACUUUAUUGAUGCUUAAUGCUCUUCUUUACAUUAGUCUUCUCAAGUGCAUUGCCUUGACUCACACACAUCUUUUUGGUUGAGCCCACUCUUAAGUUGCCUCUCUUACUUGUUGCUCAACCAUGUGUUUGUUGCAAGUACUAGGCUUAGUUUCCUAUAUGCUCUCUUGCACUUGUUGUAAGUUUCUAUUGAUUUUGGGGGAGCUAUGAUCCUAUUUUGUGCACUUUGUAUCCAAAUACAAAAAUUCUUGAUGUGCACAAAUCAUGGGGAGCUUCUCUAGUUUCUUUAGAACACUGCUCCGCUCUUAUCAUAAUAUCCUUUAUUCAUGUGGCUCGUAGGAUCAUUGGCCUAGUUGGUUCAAUUGGUAUCUUUUGAUAGCUUGCUUCAAUUGGUAUCUUUUGAUUGCUUGAUUGCUUGUUUCUCUCUUUGUUAUGUCUUUGUGGCAUAUCUUCUUUUUGCAAUCUUUGGGCCUCAAUAUAGUUUGUCUUCCUCCAAGUAUUUACCAUUGGAUGUGUGUAUUGCAUUCCACUCUCUUGUUGAGAAAUACACAAUUUAUGGAGGAACACAUUUUAUAUUGGCCGUCUAAGCUUUUAGCCCAUUUUGGCAAUCGAUGCCAAUGGGGGAGAAGUUUCAGAGAGUUUUGUGGAGAAGUUUAGAGAGUUGACUCUUCUGGCUUUGGUUGUUCCUAAGCAUACGCAUCUCCUACGCAUGCAUUAUUGGUUGUUGCAUUGCAUGUUGAUGCAUAAUUCCUUGUAUAAACUCUCUUGAAAGUGAUUGUCAUCAAUUACCAAAAUGGGGGAGAUUGAAAGAACAUGUGGUGCCCCCAUGUUUGGUUUUGGUAAUUGAUGACAAUCUCUAUGGACUAAUGGUUGCCUUGAGUUAUGUUUGAAGGGUUUGUCCAUAGGAUUGUCUUGAAGUCCAUGUGUUGGUUUCAAGGAGUUUAUGAGAUGGCCAAAGUGCUUUUCAAGGAAUUAUCCAAAGAUUGGUCAUGUGUGAGUUGAGAUGUCCAAAGUGUUUUUCAAGGAAUUAUCCAAAUAUUGGUCAUGUGUGAGUUGAGCUUAUUGCAAGCAUGUCAUGAAGAAGAAGAUUGUGUGAUCAUUCAUGUUUACCUUCAAGACAUCAUCCAAAUGAUGAGAGUUGGAAAGAGUCAAUGUUGAUCAAGACUAAGUCAAGAGUGAAUCAAGUUGAUCAACUCACAAAGCGUAGAAGAAGUACCGAGAGGGAUCAAGUGAUCCCAUGGUAUGGUAAGCAUUGUCCAUUACGCUUUGUGUACUAACCCAUGGUCUACGUGAGAGUUCUUUGUGGGGUUAGGUAUGUUUCCAUGGUCUUACGUCAAGAGGAAGAUGUCAUACAACCCAUGGAGGAUGACAUCAAGUGGUGAUCGUCAUCAAGUUUGCAGUGUGCAAGUUCAAGUGGAGCAACUCGAAGAGUGGCUCACCCAUAAUCGAGUAUGGGGGAGCAAUCAAGCUUGAAGCUUGCCGUCCAUUGUGGUGUCAAUGCAAUUUUGAAGAUGUGCCAAAGAGUGGCUCACCCAUAGUGGAGUAUGGGGGAGCAAUCAACUAGUCUUCAUCGAGCCAACACAAUCAAGAAAGGUGGUCCAACUUGAAGAAGUCAAGAUCGUCAUCAUCUAGCUCAAGUGGACUAUGUGCAAGGCAAAGGUUUUCCCUUGAUAGGUUUUCUAUUUUACCGGUCUCAUAGUGGUAGUUGGGAGACCGGGUUGUAGGAUCGAUUGCCGUACUAUCAAGGGGGGCUCUCUAGGGAGUAGCUUGAUCGUAUCAUUCAUCGAGAGCUCAAACCAUUGCAUCCUUGCAUCAUCUUUCUUGUUUCUUGUUUGGUUCCUUUUGUGAGUCUUAGAGCUUAUGGUCAUCUUGAUGACAAGCUUGAGUUCAUCGAAAACGGAGUUCGCAUGCAUCUUCUAUGAUGUUUUCGAUGUUGGAGGUUUUACCGGUCUUAUCCGAGGAAGGGUUCUCACCAUUUUUUAUGGUCCUUUUCUCAUUUUCUUCUUAUUGAUAUUUCUCUCAAGAUUGUGUUAGCCCUUGUCGUUAGCUUUCCAACAAACUUGGUUUCGUCGAAUUUGGAGCUCGUAGUGGCUGUUUUGAUUUUGCCUGUUUUACACAGAGAGGUUGUACCGCCCCAUGAAGAGGUUGUACCGCUUGAUCGGUACAACCGGUGUUUGGAGCGGUUGUACCGCUCCAGAAUUGGUCCGGAGGUUGUACCGGUCAUGUACCGCUCUACCACCGGACUGGUCUCUAUUGUGGUACGGUUGUUGGGCGGUUGUUGGCCGGUUGUACCGCUUAUUGCCUGUUACCGGUUGUACCGGUGCUCAUACAGGUUGUACCGCUCCUAUGUUGUUUUGUACAUAACGGGCAGAUUCGUGGGGACCUAUUUAAUGGGUUCUUCUUCCCCAAUGGUUCCCCAUCUCUUGAGCUCGUUUUUGCCCCCAUUGUUGACCUUCUUUGAUCUUGCUAACUCUCAAUCCCUCCAUGGAUUCUUGCUAGUUUUUGAGGGAAAAGAGAGAGGAGAUCUAGAUCCACAUUUCCACCAAUCACUUUCUCCUCCAUGUGAGGGGAACCCCUUGGAUCUAGAUCUUGGAGUUCUUGGUGUUCUCCUUCUUGUUCUUCCUCUCAUUUUCCUCCCUAGCAUUAGUUGCUCCGGUGGGAUUUGAGAGAGAAGGACUUGGGCACUCUGUGUGCCCUUGCCAUUGCAUUUGGUGCAUCGGUUUGAGUUCAUGGUGAUACGUGGAAGUGAAGUUUGAGAAGCUUAUUACUCUUGGGUGUUUGGGCACCCUAGAGCUUGUUCCUCUUGGGUGCCUUGGCGCCCUAGACGGUUGGUGUUGUGCGGAGCUCAAUCAUUGUGGUGUAAAGCUCCGGGCAAGCGUCGGGGUCUCCAAUUAGGUUGUGGAGAUCGCCCUGAGCAAUUUGACGGGUACCGGUGACCGCCCCCAAGGGUUGCCAAAGUGUACAGGUUCGGUGAAUGCCCCCAAGGGUUGCCAUUUGUACGGGUUCGGUGACCGCCCUCAAGGGUCCCUUAGUGGAAUCACGGCAUCUUGCAUUGUGCGAGGGCGUGAGGAUAUUAUGGUGGCCCUGGUGGCUUCUUGGGGAGCAUUGUGCCUCCACACCACUCCAAACGGAGAUUAGCAUCCGCAAGGGUGUGAACUUCGGGAUACAUCGUCGUCUCCGCGUGCCUCGGUUAUCUCUUACCCGAGCUCUUUACUUAUGCACUUUACUUUGUGAUAGCCGUAUUGUUUCUUGUCAUAUAUCUUGCUAUCACAUAGUUGCUUAUCUUGCUUAGCAUAAGUUGUUGGUGCACAUAGGUGAGCCUAGUUGUUUUAGGUUUUGUGCUUGACAAAUUAACCGCUAGGUUUAUUCCGCAUUUGUUCAAGCCUAAAUCGUAAUUAUUUUAGAACGCCUAUUCACCCCCCCCCCUCUAGGCGACAUCCACAAUCUUUCAUCCGUGAUGCUGAGGGAGUGAAGGGGAACGGAAGCGUGGAGACGAGGCUCAAAGCAAUGGAGCAACAAGUUUUCAAGUGUCAGGGGAUGGUGGAGCGUGGACUCAACUCCAACUACAUGAUGAUCGCAGAGUUCACCAACAAACACAAGCUGGAUGCCGACAACAUCGGGGAGACCAUCUUCAAGCUUCAUGAGAAAAUCGAGCACCUUCAAGCUCAGAUCUAUGACCUGCAAAACCAAAACUGUGAGUAUGAAUAUAGAUUCAAAAGGAUGAGUUUGGCUGCAGAUUUGAGGAUCCCGGAGACUCGGUCAUCCUUCUAUGAUGCUGAGCCUAUGCCUUGGAAGAAGGACGACAAGCCUACGCCAUCAACAAAAUCACCACCGUCUCCUCCAACAAAGAAGAAUUGAGUAUCUGGUAUGGGCACUCCACUUGGCAACUGCCAAGCUUGGGGGAGUGCCCCGGUAUCGUAUCACCAUCACUUUUAUCUUUACUGUUUAUCUUAGUUCGAUCCUUUUGGUAAUAUCUUGAUCUAGUAGAAUAAAAGUUCUUAUUAUGAUCUAGUUGUGAGUUUUGCUUUAUUAUCCUUCUAUGUAAUCGAGUCCGUGAGUUAUAUAAUAAAGAUUAUUGUUGAGUCAAGGGCUUGAUUAUUUUUACCAUGAUCCCAAGUGAAUAAAAUAAAAGAGAAAGAAAUAAAAAGAAACAAAGAGAUCAUGUGACUCUUAUGGAGAGUAAUGAGCUCACAUAGGAAGAGUAUGAUGAAUAAAAGUUAGUGAGGGUUGACAAACAUAGUUUUGGUCAUCAUUGCAAUUAAUAGGAAGUAAUAAAGAAAGAGAGGUCUUCACAUAUAAAUAUACUAUCUUGGACAUCUUUUUUGAUUGUGAGCACUCAUUAAAAUAUGACAUGCUAAAGAGUUGACAUUGGACAAGGAAGACAACAUAAUGGGUUAUGUUUUCUUACAUCUGAGAUGAAUUAUAUUGUCUUGGAUCUUCCAACAUGAUGAGCUUGCCUUUCCCCCUCAUGCUAGCCAAAUUCAUUGCACCAAGAGAUACUACUUGUGCUUCCAAAUACCCUUAAACCAGUUUUCCCAUGAGAGUCCACCAUACCUACCUAUGGAUUGAGUAACAUCCAUCAAGUAAGUUGUCAUCGGUGCAAGCAAUAAAAAUUGCUCUCUAAAUAUGUAUGAUUGAUUGGUGUGGAAGAAAUAAGCUUUAUACGAUCGUGUGAUAUGGAAGUAAUAAAAGCGACAGACUGCAUAAUAAAGGUCCAUAUCACAAGUGGCAAUAUAAAGUGACAUUCUUUCGCAUUAGGAUUUUGUGCAUCCAACCAUAAAAGCGCAUGACAACCUUUGCUUCCCUCUGCGAAGGGCCUAUCUUUUACUUUUAUCUCCUAUACUGCAAAAGAGUCAUGGUGAUCUUCACCCUUCCUUUUUACAUUUUAUCCUUUGGCAAGCACAAUAUGUUGGAAAGAUCCUGGUAUAUAUGGCUAAUUGGAUGUGGGUUUUCAUGAACUAUUACUGUUGGCAUUACCCUUGAGGUAAAACGUUGGGAGGCAAAACUAUAAGCCCCUAUCUUUCUCUAUGUCCGAUUAAAACUCCAUACCCAUAAGUAUUGCAUGAGUGUCAGCAAUUGUGAAAGACUAUAUGAUAGUUGAGUAUGUGGACUUGCUAAAAAGCUCUUAUACAUUGACUCUUUCCUAUGUUAUGAUAAAUUGCAAUUUCUUCAAUGACUGAGAUUAUAGUUUGUCAGUUUUCAAUGAAGUUUACGAUUCAUACUUGAUAUUGUGAUUGAAUUAUUACUCUAGCAUAAGAUAUCAUAUGAUAAGAAUUAUAUAAUUUGUUGCUCUAAGAAUGAUCAUGAUGCCCUCAUGUCCGUAUUUUAUUUUUAUCGACACCUUCAUCUCUAAACAUGUGGACAUAUUUUUCCAUUUUGGCUUUUCGCUUGAGGACAAGCGAGGUCUAAGCUUGGGGGAGUUGAUACGUCCAUUUUGCAUCAUGCUUUUAUAUCAAUAUUUAUUGCAUUAUGGGCUGUUAUUACACAUUAUGUCACAAUACUUAUGCCUAUUCUCUCUUAUUUUACAAGGUUUACAUAAAGAGGGAGAAUGCCGGCAGCUAGGAUUCUGGCUGGAAAAGGAGCAAAUAUUAGAGACCUAUUCUGCAUAGCUCCAAAAGUCCUGAAACUUCACGAAUGAUGUUUUCCAAAUAUAUAAAAAACAUUGAGUGCAAGAACUUCACCAGGGGGGCACACCCUGCCCACGAGGGUGGGGGCCCGCCCUACCCCCCUAGGCGCGCCCCCCUACCUCGUGGGCCCCCUGGUGGCCCUCCGGUGACCAUCUUCUGCUAUAUGGACUCUUUCGAUGGGAAAAUAAUCAUAAGCCAUCUUCUCGGACGAAACAUCGCCGCCACGAGGCGGAACCUUGGCCGAGCCAAUCUAGGGUUCUGACGGGGCUGUUCUGCCGGGGAAACUUCCCUCCUAGAGGGGGAAAUCAUCGCCAUCGUCAUCACCAACGCUCCUCUCAUUUGGAGAGGUCAAUCUCCAUCAACAUCUUCAUCAGCACCAUCUCAUCUCAAAACCCUAGUUCAUCUCUUGUAUCUAAUUCUUGUCUCCAAGUCCGGGAUUGGUGCCAGUAGGUUGCUAGUAGUGUUAAUUACUCCUUGUAGUUGAUGCUAGUUGGUUUAAUUGGUGGAAGAUCAUAUGUUCAGAUCAUAUAUGAACAUUAAUACCCCUCUGAUUAUGAACAUGUUUAUGCUUUGUGAGUAGUUACUUUUGUUCCUGAGGACAUGGGAGAAGUCGUGCUAUUAGUAGUCAUGUGAAUUUGGUAUUCAUUCGAUAUUUUGAUGAGAUGUAUGUUGUCUCUCCUCUAGUGGUGUUAUGUGAACGUUGACUACAUGACACUUUACCAUUAUUUGGGCCUAGAGGAAGGCAUUGGGAAGUAAUAAGUAGAAGAUGGGUUGCUAGAGUGACAGAAGUUUAAACCCUAGUUUAUGUGUUGCUUCGUAAGGGGCUGAUUUGGAUCCAUAUGUUUUAUGCUAUGGUUAGGUUUACCUUAAUACUUUUUUUGUAUUUGUGGAUGCUUGCAAUAGAGGUUAAUCAUAAGUGGGAUGUUUGUCCAAGUAAGGGCAGCACCCAAGCACCGGUCCACCCACAUACCAAAUUAUCAAAGUACCGAAUGCGAAUCAAACCCUAGUUUAUGCGCUACUUCGUAAGGGGCUGAUUUGGAUCCAAAAGUAUAAUGAUAUGGUUAGAUUUUAUCGUAAUACUUUUCUCAUAGUUGUGGAUCCUUGCGAGGGGGUUAACCGUAAGUAGGAGGUUUGUUCAAGUAAGAACAACACCUAAGCACCGGUCCACCCACAUAUCAAAUUAUCAAAGUAGCGGACACAAAUCAAACCAACAUGGUGAAAGUGGCUAGAUGAAAUUCCCGUGUACCCUCAAGAACGCUUUGCUUCUCAUAAGAGACUGUUUUGGCCUACCCUUUGCCUCAAAAAGAUUGGGCUACCUUGCUGCACUUUUUUUACUAUUACCGUUACAUUCUCUCUACAAAUUAUCUUACUAUCAAACUACUCGUUACUUAUAAUUUCAGUGCUUGCAGAGAAUACCUUACUGAAUACCACUUGUCAUUUCCUUCUGCUCCUCGUUGGGUUCGACACUCUUACUUAUCGACAGGACUACGAAUGAUCCCCUAUACUUAUGGGUCAUCAGGUGACCAAUGAUGUAGACUUAUGAGUCCUCCAAAAUGUGUGGAUGAGGUUCAUGAUAUUGUUCUAAAAAAUGAGAGAAAAAGAGAGAAGGGGCAAUGCUACUAUCCUUUUACCACACAUGUGCUUUAAACUAGACCAUGUUCUUCAUACAAAGAGUCUCCCAAUUUAUCACUUUCAUAUACUAGUGGGAAUUUUUCAUUAUAGAACUUGGCUUGUAUAUUCCAAUGAUGGGCUUCCUCAAAUGCCCGAGGUCUUCAUGAGAAAGCAAGUUGGAUGGAUUCCCACUUUGUCCCAGUAUUGAGCUUUCAUACACUUAUAGCUCUAGUGCAUAUGUUGCAUGGGGAAAGUGCGUUAUAUCGACUAGAGGGGAGUGAAUAGGCGAUUUUUACAAAAUCUUCAUUGAGGAAUUUCAGGGUGAGGAAAUUCCUAAGCGACGAACUACUUAGCAGCCGAAUAAGUACUCAGAUGCAAGCAUAACAGAGUAGUAGCACAGUCAUCAUGAUGAAAUGAAAACAAGCACAGAGUACAUGUAGCGUAAACACAGGAUAAGCAUGCUGAAGACAAAAUGACUGAAGAAAUAGGAUUGAGGAAGUUGAGAAAGUCUUUAGUCAAAGUAUUCAAACAAUAACGAUCAAGUACUUCUACAUAGAAAUGAGGAAAUGAAAGGGUUGAGGAAAUAGAACCAGUAGCUUGGUGAAGACAGUGAUUUGGUAGAGCAGUUCUAACUAUUGUGACAGUUGUAUGUCUGUUUGGAGCGGCUAGGUAUUUAAACCUGAGGACACACAAUCCUGGACACACGGUCCUCAUCGUAUUCUCCUUGAGCUAAGGUCACACAGACCUCACCCAGUCACUCGUGGUAAGUCUUCAAGUGACUUCCAAACCUUCACAGACUCGGUCACUCGGCGAUGCACAAUUUCCUCUUGGAUGCUCUAGACCAUGACGCCUAACCGUCUGGAGGAUACAUAGUCCUCAAAGGUAACAAGCGUCAGUACCACAUAGGAACAAUAUCUUCAGUGAUGCUCAAUCACUUUGGGUUUGUAGGUGUUUGGGUUUUGGUUUCCUCACUUGAUGAUUUUCACUCAAAGUCCUCGGAGGAUGGGAUGCUCUCAAUGACAAGUGUCAGUUUCUCGUGAAGCAGCCAACCAGCUAGUGGUUGUAGGGGGCGCCUAUUUAUAUCCUAGGGAGUAGCCCGACGUGAUAAGACAUAAAUGCCCUUCAAUGAUAUGACUGUUAGGUGGGUAGAUAUUUUGGGACAGUUGGCGCAUAGCACAGCAACGGUCGGAAAAUUGAGCUCUCAAAUUCCUCAGGGCUAUCAUGUUCCUCACUUGUAGGCAAUCCACACCGGUGAAUUCCUAACUCCUCAGUCAGAACAAAUUCCUCGGAGACUAGAAGAUCUUCCUCUGUGUCACUUAAGAAGUUGACUGAACUGUAUGAGCUUUCCAAUGGCUUCACUCAAAAGGAUUGGUAGGUGUAGGAUAUGAGCAUCACUUGGAAACUUUUCCUUAGUUUUACCUUGACCCCCUUUAACAGUACGGUGUUUCCUAUGACUCAAGAAAGAGAAAGACGAAACUACGAAAACAAGAGUCUUCACGCUUCAUAUUCCUUGCAUGAUUAUCAAGUCUUUAGGAUCACACCAAUUUCUUCACUUUCAAAGUCUUUAGAAAGCCAAAUUCUUUAGCUGAAGACAUUCAUUUUUAGGGGUCGACUUUCUCUGUAAAUAUCAAACUCCUCAUAGACUUAUAGACCUGUGUACACUCACAAACAUAUUAGUCUCUUAACCUAUAAGUCUUCAAUACACCAAAAUCACUAAGGGGCACUAGAUGCACUUACACAUGGAAAUCCCUACUCCUCGCAUCGAUAUCAAUUGAAAGGCCUCUCCAUUGCCUAAUGAUCCGCCAAGUUGAUGCAAGACUUUCUUUCUUUUUGACUUGCCUUAUGAAUCUCUACCACCGCAUUCUAUUCCAUCUGUAGUGAUAAUGUCCAUGGCUCACGAUCAUGUAUUGAGUGGAGUUGAAAAUGCUAAAGCGCAUUAAAAAGUAUAAUACAAUUGCUUGGUUUGACACCGGGGUCCUCAUGAUUUAUAUUUAUGCAGUGAAGGUGGAGUCAUGCCAUACUUACACAAUUCAAUGAGUAGGGAUAACAUUCGUUGAGCAAUGUAUAUUUUGAAAAAGUAAUGAUUAUGUUCUUGUAUUCAUGGAUAUUAUUAUGUUGAUAUCAAUUAGUUCAUCGUUUCUCAAUAUUUAUACCGUAAAAAGAUGACGUAAUACACAUGCUAGGUAGCAUUCAACAUCAAAAAUUCUGUUUUUAUCAUUUACCUACUCAAGGACGAGCAAGAAUUAAGCUUGGGGAUGCUGAUACGUUUCCAACAUAUCUAUAAUUUUUAAUCAUUUCAUGCUAUUAUAUUAUCGAUCUUAGAUACUUUAUAUGCAAUUUUAUAUCAUUUCUGGGAACUAACCUAUUAACUCAGUGCCCAGUUGUCAGUGGUAAAACCGGCAGACAUCGGGGUAGGGGGUCCUGAGCUGUGGAUCUCAGAUCAAUGGUAACAGGAAUGAAGGAGAUGAUGUUUACCCAGGUUCGGGCCCUCUCUAUGGACGUAAAACCCUAUGUCUUGCUCUUGUUUAUAUUGAUGAUGAUGUAUCGAGCACAAGCUUGAUCUACCUCGAGGUCGUAAGGAAAGACCUAACUCUAGGGAUAGGUGAAUGUAAUUAUGUUCAAGUCCCUUCUAUGGGCUAAAACCUUUGGCCUAUAUACACGUCAGAUAGGGCAUCUAGGGUUACAUGGUCGGUAUCUAGGGGAGCGCAUGGAUGCAGUAGGAGAUGUCUUGGAGUAUACGCCAAGUCGUAGGUAGAUGAGGUCUUGAUCACGUCUAUGUGUGUAGCUUCCGAAGUACAUCCAAUGGAGAAUGAGGCCAACAUGACUAGCCCGAAGACUAUGGGCCAACUAGGUUGGCACCCCCUAGUCCGGGAUGAUGACCCACAAGUAUAGGUGUUUGGGUUUGGGUUUUGGUUUCCUCACUUGAUGAUUUUCACUCAAAGUCCUCGGAGGAUGGGAUGCUCUCAAUGACAAGUGUCAGUUUCUCGCGAAGCAGCCAACCAGCUAGUGGUUGUAGGGGGCGCCUAUUUAUAGCCUAGGGAUUAGCCCGACAUGAUAAGACAUAAAUUCCCUUCAAUGAUAUGACCGUUAGGUGGGUAGAUAUUUUGGGACAGAUGGCGCAUAGCACAGCAACGGUCGGAAAUUUGAGCUCUCAGAUUCCUUAGGGCUAUCAUGUUCCUCACUUGUAGGCAAUCCACACCGAUGAAUUUCUAAAUCCUCAGUCAGAACAAAUUCCUCGGAGACUAGAAGAUCUUCCUCUCUGUCACUGAAGAAGUUGACUGAACUAUAUGAGAUUUCCAAUGGCUUCACUCGAAAGGAUUGGUAGGUGUAGGAUAUGAGCAUCACUUGGAAACUUUUCCUUAGUUUUACCUUGACCCCCUUUAACAGUAUGGUGUUUCCUAUGACUCAAGAAAGAGAAAAACGAAACUACGAAAACAAGAGUCUUCACGCUUCAUAUUCCUCGCAUGAUUAUCAAAUCUUUUGGAUCACACCAAUUUCUUCACUUUCAAAGUCUUCAGAAAGCCAAAUUCUUUAGUUGAAGACAUUCAUUUUUAGGGGUCGACUUUCUUUGUAAAUAUCAAACUCCUCAUAGACUUAUAGACCUGUGUACACUCACAAACAUAUUAGCCCCUUAACCUAUAAGUCUUCAAUACACCGAAAUCACUAAGGGGCACUAGAUGCACUUACACAUGGAAAUCCCUACUCCUCGCAUUGAUAUCAAUUGAAAGGCCUCUCCAUUGCCUAACGAUCCACCGAGUUGAUGCGAGACUUUCUUUCUUUUUGACUUGCCUUAUGAAUCUCUGUAAGUGCAUCUAGUGCCCCUUAGUGAUUUUGGUGUAUUGAAGACUUAUAGGUUAAGGGACUAAUGCGUUUGUGAGUGUACACAGGUCUAUAAGUCUAUGAGGAGUUUGAUAUUUACAGACAAAGUCGACCCCUAAAAAUGAAGUUCUUCGACUAAAGACUUUGAAUUUCUGAAGACUCUGAAAGUGAAGAAAUUGGUGUGACCUUGAAGACUCGGUAUUCAUUUGACGAACAUGAAGCGUGAAGACUUUUGUUUUUUUAGUUUCAUUUUAUCUUUCUUGAGUCUUAGGAAACACCGUACUGUUAAAGGGGGUCGAGGAAAUACUAAGGAAAAAUUUACAUGUGAUGCUCAACUCAAAAUCCUACACCUACCAAUCCCUUCGAGUGAAGCCAUUGGAAAUCUCAUAUAGUUCAGUCAUAUUCUUCAGUGACGAAGACGAAGUUCUUCUGGUCUCUGAGGAAUUUGUUCUGACUGAGGAGUUAGGAAUUCGCCAGUGCGGAUUGCCUACAUAGUAAGGAACAUGAUAGCCCUGAGGAAUUUGAUACUCAAAAUUCCGACCGUUGUUGUGCUAUGCGCCAGUUGUCCCAAAAUAUCUACCCACCUAACGGUCAUAUCAUUGAAGGGCAUUUAUGUCUUAUCAUGUCGAGCUGCUCCCUAGGCUAUAAAUAGCCGCCCCCUACAACCACUAGCUGGUUGGCUGCUCCGAGAGAAACUGACACUUGUCAUUUGAGAGCAUCCCAUCCUCCGAGGACUUUGAGUGAAAAUCAUCAAGUGAGGAAAACCAAAACCCAAACCCAAACACCUACAAACCCCAAGUGAUUGAGUAUCACUAAAGAGAUUGAUCAUGCGUGGAUCCGACGCUUGUUACCUUUGAAGAUUGUGCUUCUUCCAAACAGUUAGGCGUCAAGGUCUAGAACAUCCAAGAGGAAUUGUCGAUCGCCGAGUGACCAAGUUUGUGAAGGUUCGGAAGUAACCUAAAGACUUACCACGAGUGAUUGGGCGAGGUCUGUGUGACCUUAGCUCAAGGAUAAUACGGUGAGGAUUGUGUGUCCGGGACUGUGUGUCCUUAGGUUUAAAUACCUAGCCGCUCCAACCAGAUGUACAACUGAGACAGCAGUUGGAACUGGUCUACCAAAUCAUUGUCUUCACCAAGCUCAUUGGUUCUAUUUCCUCAACUCUUUCAUUUCCUCAUAACUGUGUUGAGUGCUUGUUCAUAUCUGUGUUUGAAGACUUUGACUGAAGACUUUCUCAAUUUCCUCAGUUCAAUUUCUUUAGUCGGUUUAUCUUCAUCCUGUUUUAUCCUGUGCUUACACGUUCUGUACUCUAUGCCUGUCUUCAUUUCAUCAUGAUGACUAUGCUUGUGUUCUGUUAUGUUUACUUUUGAGUACUUAUUCCGCUACUAGUUGUUCUUCGCCAAGGAAUUUUCUCACCUGCAAAUUCCUCAGUGAAGAAUUCAUAAAAAUCGCCUAUUCACCCCCCCUCUAGUUGAUAUAACGCACUUUCAAUUGGUAUUAGAGCAAGGUACUCCCUUGUUCUGUGUGAUUUUGAUUUAACCGCUUGGAGUUUUAGUUAUGUCGACUGCAGGUAUGAUCAAGGUCUCUGCUGGGUGUCCUACCUUCGAUGGGACGGACUACCCCUACUGGGAGAAUAAGAUGCGAAUGCAUCUUGAGGCAAUUAAUAACGAUCUCUAGUAUGUUGUGGAAAAUGGUGUUCCCUCAGUCACACCUUCUCUGAAUGCUGCUGAUGUGAAGAGAUUCAAGAAACUCGAUUCUCAAGCGAAGAAUAUCAUAUGUGGCCAUCUGAGCAAAGGACAAUAUGGAAGAGUGAGUGCUUUGGAAACUACUAAGCUUAUCUGGGAUAGGUUGUCCAAGGUGAAUGAAGGAGUCUCAACACAGCGUGACUCUCGAGUUGAUGUUCUUCGCAAUAUCUUCAACCGCUUCAAAAGACUCGAGAAUGAAAAUGUUCAACAAACCUUCGAUCGCCUCACUGACAUCUCAAAUGAGCUUCAAUCACUUGGUGCCACUAACAUCACCGACCAUGAGGUGGUGAAGAAAUUGCUGAGAUCGCUUGAUUCCUCAUUUGAUACUCUGGCAUUGAUGAUACAAGAACGUGUUGAUCACAAGUCACUUGAUCCCGCUGAUAUCCUCGACAGGCUAAAUACUCAUGAGUUCUAGCUUGCUGAAAAGAGAGAUCUCUAUGGUUCGAGCUAUGGCAGAUCACGUGCACUGAAGGCCAAGGCAGCAUCUGAGUCCGAAGAUGAAGACUCUGGUAGCAGCCUUGGUGAUCCUGAAGAACUAAGCCAUGAGCUAGCACUACUCGUGAAGAAAUUCCAGAAGUUCUCAAGACGUCGUCGCUUUGGAAGACCCUCAAGGAGCAAUGAUUCCUCAUCCAGUGACUACAAGAAGAGGCUUUGUCACAAAUGCAAGAAACCUGGACAUUACAUUCAAGAUUGUCCUCAGUGGGAAAAGGAAUCAAGGAAGAAGAAAUACAAGGAUUACAGUUCUGAUGAUGCAAAGAAAAAUAAGAAAUCCUCAAAAUCUUCAUCAUCAAAAUCCUCAAAGUCUUCAUCUCACAAGAAGAGCAGCUCCAAGAAGGCUCGGGCAUUCAUUGGCAAGGAAAUGGACUCUGAGGUUGAAUCUGAAGAAAAUGAGGAAGAGGAGGCAUCUGAGGAGUCUGAAUCUGGUGUGGCGAGCCUAGCCCUCACUACUGCAUUCGUCAGCAAAUCUAUCUUCAACACUGAAGAAAAUGACCUCACCAACAAGGCUGAUGAAGGCAAUGAUGACUACGCUCCCACCUAUUGCUUCAUGGCAAAGGGUGCCAAGGUACUCAAAUAUACCUCCUCUGAAUCAAGUGAGAAUGAAUCUGAUGAAAACCUCAAGCCCAGCUAUUCUAAACUUGCUAAGAUUGCUGUAAAACAACAAAGGGAUUUUGAAAAGGUUCAAAACAUGCUAGACAAAAGUGAUGAUAUGUUGGGUGAAGAAAUGGAUCGCACUAAAGCCUUGACUGAAAAUCUUCAGAGACUUCAGACUAGGUUUGACAACCUUCAAGGUCAUCAUAACACUCUCUUAUCUGAUCAUGAGAAGCUUUCUUAUGAAUUUCUUCAAAGAAAGCAAGAUCUUGAAAAGCUAAGAGUGAGUUAUGAAGAUCUUCAGAAGGAGCGCGAUUCAUUACUUGCUCAACAAAUCAGCGCUUCUUAGGAAGAAUUUGUUCCUCCUUGUUUGAAAUGCAUUGAACGUGAAUCUGCUAAUUCUUCACCUGAAUGUUCAAAUGCUUCUAAUGCUACAAAUUCUUCACCUGCCUCUGCUAUCACUAAUUCCUCAUCUGAGGACACUGCUAGUAUCACUGAUAAUGCAGGACUGAAGGAAUUGUACAUGGCAGGCAUGUACAAAAGCCUCAAAGGGCAUCAGACUCUUUGUGAUGUGCUUAAAAAGCAUAUCCUCAACAGGAACCCUAGGAAAGAGGGUAUUGCCUUUGAGAGGAAACUCAAUGUUGAUGGUACAUAUUGGAAGCCUGAGCAGUACCCCAAAACCUCAUGGGUUGCUGCAAAGGGACCUCCAGUUGAUCCAUCUAAUUUAUCUGGCUUUGCAUGUGAAUCUCCUCGUUCUGAUGAUGAGUCAAUUGACUCCAACUAUAAACUAUUUAAAAAUCAGAAUGGUGAAAUAUUUGCUAGAUAUGUUGGCACUAACUGCAGGAACGGUCCUCCUAUGAAGAAAAUCUGGGUUCCCAAAAGGUGCCUUGAAAGUCUUCAGGUGAAUGUCCUCAGGACACCACCUGUGAAGAAUAGGAACCCCAGGUCAAAUUCUUCAUAUGGACCAAAUUCCUCAAAAGGAUCAAAGUCCUCAUAUGAAUAUCAUCGUGCUAACAACUCUGUUUCGCAGGGAAGAGCUAAGGGCUAUGAAUAUGAGCAUUAUUCUUCUAAUCAUUAUGUUCAUAAGUCCUCGAAGAAUUUCUCUGCUUAUUCAUAUGCUUAUCCUAACCCCUCUUAUGUGAAACGAAAUGGGUUGGCGUCUAUGCCACCUUUCUCAUAUGGAGCUCGCAGAGUGAUGAACUCUUUGCCACCCCUUCAGAUGUGGGUGGUGAAGAAAAAGAACUAAUCUCUUCUGCAGGGUCAGGUCUCUAGACGAAUGUAAUCGUCUGAAGAAUUUGCUGGAGACCUGAGAGUGCCUGAUAGGACGCGGGCUAACCAUGAAGAAAUGAACUUUAAUUUCUCAUGUCCUCAUACUGCUUUAUCUGUUCUAUUGCUUGAUGAAAUUGAUCUGAUGAUUUGAUGUCAUAUUCUUCAUUGAUGAAGUAUAUGAGUUCGUAAGAUGCACUAAUUCAUCUGCAGGAUGAUCAACCCAAAGCCACUGAGUGGGUCCUCGAUAGUGGAUGUACAAAUCACAUGACUGUCGACAUGAAUCUAUUGAUGGAUGCUCCAUUAUCUCCGCCACAUCUGAAGCAUAUCAUCUUUGCUGACAAAGGCAAAAUUCAGGUAUUGGGUCUAGGUAAGGUUGCGAUCACAAAUGAUCGACACAUGGACAAAGUCAUGCUUGUCGAGUCCUUAGGAUACAACCUCAUGUCUGUCUCAAUGUUUUGCGACCUUGAUAUGGUUGUUGUCUUUGGCAAGUACCGCUGUGUUGUAGUUAUGGAAGCUGAAAAUUCCAAAGUCUUCGAAGGCUUUAGGAGAGGAGAGUUGUAUAUUGUUGAUUUCUCUAUAGGACCACAACCAGCCAUGUGCCUACUUGCAAAAGCUUCAGAAGGCUGGUUUUGGCAUCGACGACUUGGUCAUCCAGCAAAGACUAUCAUGACCACCACUCAUCCAUUUGAAUUGCUUCACAUGAAUCUCUUUGGUCCUAACCAUUAUUCUGCAGUCUCAAAUGAGGCAUCUCAAUAUGGCUUUGUUAUUGUUGAUGAUUGCUCUCGAUACACAUGGGUACACAUUGUUACUUACAAACAUGAAGUGCAGGAAGUCUUCAAACGAUUUUCCUCGAGGGCUUCAACCAACUUUGGUGUGAAGAUCAGGCACAUCAGAAGUGACAAUGGAACUGAGUUCAAGAAUUCUGGUCUUGAUGACUAUCUUGAUGAACUUGGUAUUACUCAUGAGUUAUCUGCUCCUUAUACUCCUCAGCAGAACGGCAUCGUGGAGCGCAAGAAUAGGACUCUUGCUGAGAUGGCUCGCACUAUGCUUGAUGAAUACAAAACGCCUCGUCGUUUCUAGAUUGAGGCAAUUGAUACUGCGUGCGACAUCAUCAACAGAGUAUAUCUUCACAAAUUCUUCAAGAAGACUGCCUAUGAACUCCUCACUGAUAAGAAACCCAAUGUAAGUUAUUUCAAAGUCUUCGGUGCUAAAUGUUGGAUUAGAGAUCCUCAUCACAACUCAAAAUUUGCACCGAAAGCACAUGAAGGUUUUAUGCUUGGUAACGGAAAGGACUCGCACACCUACAGAGUCUUUAACAACGUUCUUCAUAAGGUUGUUGAAACUGUAGAUGUGCGGUUCGAUGAAAGUAAUGGCUCGCAAAGAGAGCACUUACCUUGUGUGAUAGAUGAACCACCACCUGAGGAAACUAUCAAGUUCAAGGCUACUGAGGAUGUCAUUCCUACUGAAGAAUUUGCUGAAGAAUUCAUUCCAGAACAUGAAGAACAUCGAGCUAAUGCACCUGGAGAAAAUACUGAAGAAAAUGGUGCUAAAGAAAAUGCCGAUCAAAUUCCUCAACGACAAACAGCUCAUCCUCGCGUUGCAAAAGAAGUGCAAGUUGAAAAGAUCAUCAAUGACAUUAAAGCGCCAGGUCCUCUCACACGCUCAAAAGAUUCACAUUUAUCUAACUUUUGUGGGCACCAUGCUUUUGUCUCUAUCACAGAGCCCACUAAGGUAGAUGAAGCAUUUCUGGAGCCUGAGUGGAUUCAGGCCAUGCAAGAAGAAUUACAUUAGUUCGAGCUCAACAACAUUUGGGAACUGGUCAAACUUCCAAAUCCUUGCAAGCACAAUAUCAUUGGCACAAAAUGGAUCUAUCACAACAAGCAAGACAAAAAUGGUCUUGUGGUAAGGAAUAAGGCAUGGCUUGUAGCUCAAGGCUACACACAGGUUGAAGGAAUUGAUUUCGAUGAAACUUUUGCACCUGUUGCUAGACUUGAGGCUAUUCGCAUAUUACUUUCUUAUGCUAACCAUCAUGAUAUCACUUUAUAUCAAAUGGAUGUGAAAAGUGCAUUCCCCAAUGGUAAGCUUGAGGAAGAAGUAUAUGUUGCUCAACCCCCAGGUUUUGAAGAUCCAAAGAAUCCUGACAAAGUCUUCAGACUCAAUAAGGCCCUCUAUGGCCUCAAGCAGGCCCCACGGGCAUGGUAUGAUACUUUGAAGGAAUUCCUUAUGAAGAAAGGCUUCAAACCCAGUUCACUCGACCCUACUCUUUUCACUAAAUCUUAUGAUGGUGAAUUUUUUGUGUGCCAAAUAUAUGUUGAUGAUAUUAUCUUUGGUUGUACUGGCCAACGUUAUAGUGAUGAUUUGCCUAUAUGAUGAGUGAAGAAUAUCAAAUGUCUAUGAUGGGAGAGUUGAAAUUCUUCUUAGGUCUUCAAAUUCGUCAACAAUGCAAUGGCAUAUUCAUAUCUCAGGAGAAAUACCUCAAGGACGUACUGAAGAAAUUCGGCAUGCAAGAUUGCAAAGGCGUCAAAAUUCCUAUGCCCACAAAUGGCCAUCUGUGCACUGAUGAAAAUGGUAUUGACUUCGAUCAUAGGGUAUACCGCUCCAUGAUAGGUUCCUUAUUAUACUUAUGUGCAUCUAGGCCAGAUAUAAUGCUUAGUGUUUGCAUGUGUGCCCGAUUUCAAACUGCACCGAAGGAAUCACACCAUAAGGUUGUGAAGCGUAUUCUUCGAUAUCUAGCUCACACACCAACACUUGGAUUAUGGUACCCCAAGGGCUCGGCUUUUGAUCUCAUCGGAUAUUCUGGCUCUGACUAUGCUGGUGAUCGUGUGGAUCGCAAGUCAACAUCUGGUACAUGUCAUUUCCUUGGACGAUCUUUGGUCUGUUGGUCCUCGAAGAAACAGAACUGCGUAUCAAUAUCUACUGCCGAAGCUGAGUACAUUGCCGCUGGUUCUUGCUAUGCCCAAUUGCUAUGGAUGAAGCAAACUCCCAAGGACUACGGCGUCAACAAGAAGAAUGUGCCUCUCUUAUGUGACAAUGAGAGUGCCAUCAAGAUUGCUCACAACCCAGUUCAGCACUCGAAGACAGAGCACAUUCAGAUUCAUCAUCAUUUUCUUCGUGAUCAUGUGUUGAAGGGCGACAUUUCUAUUGAGCAUGUGAAGACUGAAGAACAGCUAGCCGAUAUCUUCACAAAGCCCUUGGAUGAGAAGAGAUUUAGCAAGUUGCGGUGUGAGCUAAAUAUCCUAGAAUCUUCGAAUGUUCUCUGAAAAGGACACUCAUCCUAACACUUACGCAAAAUUGAUGACUUAGAUGUGCAACACAUGAAGAAACUUUUUUCUUCAAUCAAUGAAGAAUAACACUCUAAGUGUGAAGAAAUUAACGAAGAAUUUGAUUCUCAGAACCCUACGACAAUUGUACGCGGUGUCUGAAAUCAUCAUUCUUAUACGGUGGGUCACGCCACCACCAAAAGUUGAAAUUCCUCAGUUGUUCAAAUUCUUCAACUUUGCAUUGUCUUCACUGUUUUCGUCGUUUUUUUUCAUUGGCUAUAUAUAUGUGAGUUUAUGUCCUCUACAACAUUCACUUAUGGCUAUUUCUUCAAGAUGGUUUAUCUACUAAGUGAAUGUGAUCAGACCCUUCCCCCUCUAUGCUAUACUCAACCCAAUCUGUUCACAAAUUCUUCAUGUGCGUUCUACUUGAAACUCGUUCAAAAUCUUCAUUGUGUCCUUGUCAGCUGAAGAAAUUGCCAACGGAACUUUAAAACCUAUCUUAUCUAAAUUUUUGGCUUUGCCGCUCAAACCAUUCCGCAUCCCACGAAAUACUUAUCUAUUCACCCACGAUCGCACACGAUCUCCACUUCUCAGAACGUGGGUGACACAUGUCAAGAGAAUGAGAAGGGUCAGGGGCACGUUCGUCCAAAUUCUUCGGGCGAACAGUUUUUCACCGUGGCUAUAAAUACCCCCCUUCCCCUUCCUCACUUCCUUUAGUCCGCUCGACCUCUCUCUAGCUCGAGCUUCUCAAACCCUAGCGCCGCCGCUACUUCAUCGUCGCCGGUGAGGAAAAGCUUCACUGCCUCGACCUCAUCGCCGUCAUACUCGCGCUGGCCAUGGAAAUCUCCACUCCGCCGCCGCCGUAGGUGUCUUCCUCCGCCAAGUUAGGGUGUGGAAGAUCUGCACUGACGAACUUCACAUCUCCACAUACCAGUUCAUCGUGUUCUUCGUCUAGGGUAAUUAAAAGUUACUUUUACUGCCCUCUUUGAUUGAAAUGAUUUCUACAAAAUCCUCAAAGGUCUUUUUUUCAUAUCUUCACACACUAAAACACCUCACAUGUCAUCUGUUCUUGAUUCGUUUCUCUAAGCUAUGUUUUUCUUCAAGAUUCCUCAAAUGUGUGGAUUUUCGAUCUAUACAUCUCUGGAACCUAAGACAAAGAACGCUUAGUGAAAUUCUUCAAGACUCAUCUGGUCAAAUUCCUCAAACUUAUUCUUUAUAAAAAACCUUCUGAGAACGCAUAUGACCUCUCCAAAUUCCUCGCAAAUAUACUCUAUUCACAGGUACUCAUGUCAGCUGCUGAAUCACUUUCUCAUCAACUUAACUCAUUUGCAGCGUUCCUUGAAGAAAAGUUGCAUACCUCUUCAGAGAAUUCAAUUGUUCAAAUUCCUCAACUGAAGAAAAUGAUUGAUGGUAAGAAGCCACAGAAAGGAGGAAAGAAGCCAGAGGUCAACACAGCAUUUGAAAUCCUUGAUGACAUCUAUGUUGGGUACUGCACACACCCUGAGGAAGAUAAAAAUCAGCGCAAGGUGCGCAUUCAAAAGAUUGAGAGGAGAUGGGCAAGAGAGUGGAGGGAGUACAGAUAUGUCACUCCCAAGUAUAUGAAGAAAUUUGCACUAAUCCUCCAUGCCCAAGACCUCCGUUGGCACAUGGCCAAAUAGCUGAUCCCACCAGCCUCAAGCGCGGUGAGGAUUAUCCUGAUGAAUGGGCCAAGCGCCAUGCCAAGUUGGCCAAACAAGCAAAAGAUGCAGUGAGGAAAUUCAACAAAGACUUUGCUGCCGCUGCUGCUGUUGAGGCCUCUGUAAAGCCGAAGAAGGUCAUGCCUAAGAAGCUUGCUCAUAAGCCCAGUGCUUCACCAGCAAUGCCCUCACGGACAAGUUCCUCAGCUAUGCCCUCACGGCCAGAUUCCUCAAAGCCCUCAAGGCCAAUUCCUCAUGCUGCUCCUGCUCCUCCAAAAUCCUCAGCUCCUCCAAAGUCCUCAGCUGCUCUGACAAAGUCCUCUACACCUGUGCAUCUUGCCACGUGCCAAAGGACUACAGGCAUCUCUAUUACCUCGGGAGCUUCAGCUAGUUCCUCAGCUGCACCCAAUUCUUCAACGGGACCCUCUCUGCUGAAGACAAAGGCCACUGCUGGACAAGGUCCUCGCCCUAGUCCUCAGAAGAAGCGGGUCACCUUCCAAGUGUCGUAUGAAGAAGACGAAGCUGAUGAUGAAGAACUUGCUGAGAUCAUCAGAGAUAGGCAAGUCAGGGCCGCUAGAGCCAAAAUCACAAAUGUGCCACUGCUUUUGGAUCCAAGGUUAAUCCUUGACUAUAUUGAUCUCUGGCACAAGGACCCAAACACUCCUAUGCCUGAUUUCAAGUUGACUCCUGGCCAAAGUCACAUGCUGACCCAUUUCAUCCAAGAAGAAAAAUGGAAAUAUGAGAAGGCCAGGCAGAUCAAGAAAGCGCAAUAUAAGAAGGAGAAAUUUUUGAAGAACAACGUUGUCACUAUGACAACUGAUGAACCUAUAAAAAUACAGUCUGAAAUCAAAACCCUCAGUGAUGACUUAAAAACCUACUAUGCUGAUUGGCAAGGAGCCAAGGUCAGGUUUGUUAAACUGAUUGAGAAGUUCACCCCCAAUGGUGCAGCUUCAUCGCAACAGGAAAUUCCUCAGGCUGAAGCAUCUACUCAGCCAACUGAAGAACAUGCCAGCACCACUGAUGACUUUCAGGAUGCUGAAGAAAAUGUGAGUUCCAGGGCUGAUGACUGCAUUCCAGCCGCUGAAGAAAUUGCUAGGGAAUCCACUAGUGGUGCGCCUGAAGAAAAUGAAGAAGUCAGGGCAACUGCAUCAGUUGUGCCUGAAGAAAAUCAACCAGAUUCCUCUGCUCCUCCUGCGCCUACACCAACUCCGAUCCUUCCAUCUGCAUCAGAUGUGAAGAAGACCAAGGCUGUAGAGCGUGUAGCUGUGAAGAAAAGGAAAGCAUCAGCUACUUCAGAUUCUUCAGCUCCGAAGAAAAUGAAGUCUAUGACAAGUUUGUUCGCAAAUCCCAUUGAUGUUGUUCCGAUCUCAACCAUGCCAUCAAAGGACCUUAUUCCUUUUAAUGAAGAAUAUGUGAUCCCUAGCAGAUCUGAUGAAGAAAAUCCUUCUGCUGCUUCGCCAGAGCAGAUGGAUGAAGAAAUUGAAGCGGAUCAAAUCCCUUCAACACCAGUUGUUUCCUCGCCUAUGCCUCAGUUCACAGCUGAAGAGGCUGGCGUUGAAGAAAUUGGAGAUGAAGAUGUGGGCAUUGGCUGCACCAUACCAGUGAUGAAUCGUGACUUUUGGGAAAGUCAGCAUCCCAACUCUCCACUGUUCACACCUUUACAGCAAAUACCUCAGUCCCCUACACAAACUGUUCAAAUGGGCUCUGAAGAAACUCACCCCACUUCGUUUGUACGUGAAGAAAUUCCACCCACUAGUGCUGAAGAAACUGUUGUUGCUGAACAUCUGAAGAAACAGACUGACACUGAAGAGGAACUAGAAAUUCCUCAGCCUGAAGAACCUGAGAUUGUGAUUCCUGAGGUUGUGAUGCAACUCACUAACACUCCUCUACCCAAGCCAAAGGAUCCAUUCUCCAGGAAGCAAAAAUUCAAGGCUGAUGAUUUCUUCGGCAAGCACGCAUUCUUCACAGACUACAACCUCUAUGACUCUGCUCGCAUUAGGAAAAGGCAUUUCUGGACUGCCAGCCAGGCUAAUUUCUAUUCCUCAGUGUUGUUCAACAAAGACAAAAUCUUCUACCAUGAGCACAUUCCUCACAUGGAUAUGGAAUCUCUGCCGUGAUUCGUGCCAGUCCUCAGUUUUCUUCACGACGCUGGACUGUUAAAUUUCUGCACUGACAUCUGUGAUUGGAAUGAAGAACUCAUUCUUCAAUUUUAUGCGACGCUGCACAUCACAGGAGAUUCAUGGGUGCUGGACUGGAUGUCUGAAAACACUCACUACAUGGCACCAGCUACUGAAUUGCUUCGUGCUUUACCACUCAGUCCUCCCCUUGAAGCUGCUCGUUGCAUCUACAGUGAAUCUGAGCUUAUAAAUCACUACAUGCAAGUUCUGAUGAAGCCUUUGAAGCCAGGUUAGGCCCCACGAACCAAAUUCCUCGUGAAGGAAUUACUAUAUGUGCCUCGGACUGUCUAUCGCAUUCUGACGAGGACAAUGAGUCCCAUCAAAGGCCACGACUCAUCUACUGAGGAAAUAGUUGGCAUCAUGAAGAAUCUGCUAUUCAACAUCAUACAUAGCAUUCCUAUCAACUAUCAUGAUUUCUUCAUGAGGACUCUGGCAAAUGCUGCACUUUCUCCAUUUGAGCUGAAGCCUUAUGCACCUUGGAUUAUGAGAUUCCUCAGGACAAGGUCUUCACUCAACUACAAGGCUGAUUUUCAGAAUCACCUUAGCUAUCUGCCCCUGAUUGAAGUCCUCAAGUAGGCUUUUACUUCAACUAAUGAAAAGGGCAAGGCCCCUGCAGUCAUUGAUGAAGGCAUUCAUCCAUUGGAUGGUCAGUUUCGCAAAGCUGCACCUUAUUCCACCAAUGAUGACUCUGCCACACAUGACUCUGCUGCCAAUGCACCCAAGUCUACUCCUCAAGCCACUGCUCCUCGUGUGAUGACUGACCAUGAGCUUCUGCUUAGUCUUCACUAGAAGGUGGAUCGAAACCAUAAAUGGGUUAAGCGUCAGUUUGGUUCAUUUAUUCACAACAUGACUGCUACACACAAUGCAGUGAAGAAAAACCAUUACUACCUCCAUGAAGUUUUCGGUCGCACCUGGGCCAUUCUAUCACAUCUGUAUGGUGAAGAAGAUCUCAAGGCAAUGGGUCUCAAGGAAGAUUUUGACUGGUCUGCACCUCCAUCGAAGAAAUACAAGAAGGUCAAGGUUCCUCCUUUGGUGUCCAGCUCCUAUUCUUCAUCGCGCGACACCGAUGAGCAUGAAGACUUGGACGACACUGCAGCAGGCCCUUCCACGACAAACGACCCCAACAACGCUGGUGCUCCUUCAUCAACUUGAUAUUCUUCAGGGGCGUUAGUCAUCAUUUUCGAUCCUUUUGGUCAUUCGAUGACAAAGGGGGAGAAUUUUGAGUUAGUCUUCAAGCGGGUCUGUCUAUAUGGGUGUUUUUUUUGCUAAGUUACAACUCUCGUUCUUCUGAAACUUUAUUGGAUCGAGUUGUAAACUUAAACUCGAUGGUGCUCUAAUACUUUUGAUGUGUUUUUCUGCAUGUUUAUUCCUCAUAUAUGUUAAUGCACGCAUGCUGAAUUACAUCAGUCACCAUAUUUCAUCAUGCAUUUCAAAUUCCUCAUUAUGAUAUGUCAAAUGCGUGUAUGAAUUACAAGAUAUAUGGGGAGAUCUCCAUGAUUCAACUCUUCAAGUGUGCAUUGCUUCAAAUGCAAAUUCCUCACUAUGCACAUCUUCAGGGGGAGUUCUUCUAUAUCUUGCAAUCAAAUUCCUCAAUAUCAGUAUUUACACUUCAUAUGUUUAUCCCCGUUAAAAACUUACCCUAUAUUGUCAUCAAUCACCAAAAAGGGGGAGAUUGUAAGUGCAUCUAGUGCCCCUUAGUGAUUUUGGUGUAUUGAAGACUUAUAGGUUAAGGGACUAAUGCGUUUGUAAGUGUACAAAGGUCUAUAAGUCUAUGAGGAGUUUGAUAUUUACAGAGAAAGUCGACCCCUAAAAAUGAAGUUCUUCGACUGAAGACUUUGAAUUUCUGAAGACUUUCUGAAGACUCUGAAAGUGAAGAAAUUGGUGUGACCUUGAAGACUUGGUAUUUAUUUGAGGAACAUGAAGCAUGAAGACUUUUGUUUUUGUAGUUUCAUUUUCUCUUUCUUGAGUCUUAGUGUAACGCCCCGAGUCUGUUACGCCAGUUGUCUUCCAGUUAUUCGCUGUUGUUGCCUUGUCAUUUGUUUGCGUGUCAUGCAUUUCAUAUCAUGUCAUCAUGUGCAUCGCAUUUGCAUACGUGUUCGUCUCAUGCAUCCGAGCUUUUUCCCCGUUGUCCGUUUUGCAAUCCGGCACUCCUAUGUCAUCCGGCGCCCCCUUUUGCCUCUUUUCAUGUGCGGGUGUUAAAUGUUCUCGGAUUGGACCGAGAUUUGCCAAGCGGCCUUGGUUUACUACCGGUAGACCGCCUGUCAAGUUUCGUGCCAUUUGUAGUUCGUUUGAUACUCCAACGGUUAACCGGGGAACCGUAAAGGCCUCGUGUGUGUUGCAUCCCAAAACCCCUCCAAAGUGGCCCAAAACCUUUCCAAACCCCCUCCAUCCUCUCGACCGUUCGAUCAUGAUCACGUGGCCGAAAACCGCACCUCAUUUGGACUCUCCUAGCUCCCUCUACCUAUAAAUAUGUGCCUCCCCCUGAAAAUUCGUGGAUGAACCCUAGUCUUCUUCAUCCUCGCGCCGCCGGACAUGUCCGCACCGAGACGGACAUGUCCGCCACCGCCCCUCGUCCAAUCGGACGCCGCCACAUCACCACCACUGCCCUUUCUCUCCUCCGCGCCCGCCGCGGCCCGCCAGGGCCCGAGGCCGGCCGGCCCCGGGCCAGAUCUGGGCCGCCGCCCCGCGCCCGCUCGCCGACGCUCCCGCCGCUCCAUCNNNNNNNNNNNNNNNNNNNNNNNNNNNNNNNNNNNNNNNNNNNNNNNNNNNNNNNNNNNNNNNNNNNNNNNNNNNNNNNNNNNNNNNNNNNNNNNNNNNNNNNNNNNNNNNNNNNNNNNNNNNNNNNNNNNNNNNNNNNNNNNNNNNNNNNNNNNNNNNNNNNNNNNNNNNNNNNNNNNNNNNNNNNNNNNNNNNNNNNNNNNNNNNNNNNNNNNNNNNNNNNNNNNNNNNNNNNNNNNNNNNNNNNNNNNNNNNNNNNNNNNNNNNNNNNNNNNNNNNNNNNNNNNNNNNNNNNNNNNNNNNNNNNNNNNNNNNNNNNNNNNNNNNNNNNNNNNNNNNNNNNNNNNNNNNNNNNNNNNNNNNNNNNNNNNNNNNNNNNNNNNNNNNNNNNNNNNNNNNNNCGCCUGCGCCGCUCUGGUCGCCGGCCACCGCCGCCCUCGCCGGAGCUCCGCCUCCGCUGGAUCCGGGAGAGGUGGACAAGAUCCACCGGUCAUAGGAACCAAACGCCUCCACUCUGUCCCGGAACCACUCCAUCCCGUUGACUUUUCUCGGAGGUCCGUUUUUCUGCUAAGUCCCUAAGUGUGUGACAUUUUGUGCCCAUGUUCAUCGCAUCAUAACUUCAUUACCGUUGCUCCGUUUUGCAUGCAUGAUAUAUCAAAAUGUUUACCAUGAUGUCCUAUUCAUUUUGUUCCAUUGUGCCAUGCUUGUUUGAGUCCAUCUUGAUGCCCUAAUGACUGUUCCAAGAGUGCUUCAUAAUGUUAGUUCCUGUUUCUUAUUAGUUUAUGAGCAUUUGUCAUUUUUGCCAUGAAUAUUGUGUGCUCCAUAUGAACUUGAGCCCUACAUGUGUUUUGGGCUAUGCCAUGCCAUCUUUAUAGGGUGUAUGCCUUGUAUUUUUGUGAUCAAUGUGGUGACUAGCACAAGCAUGCAAAGUAGCUCUCGUGAUAUUGCUGAUUUUAGAGACUUAGAAUUUUACUAAGUCUUUGUCUGCUGUUAUUUUUAUGCCAUGUAUUCAUGUUGCUACAGAGUGAUCCAUGCCUCUUUUGAGUAUCUUCAGUAAGGAUGAUUUGGGAAUAUGAUUGCCCUCUAUCCAUCAAUGUCCUUGUUUGCAUUUAUGGAGUCCCCUAGAAUGACUCAAUCUUGCUCUACUUUUGCUAUAAAAUGUUCCUGGCAGAUUGUUUAUGUGUUAAUCAAUUUUGCCAAGGUUGUUGUAUUUGAUCCAUGCAUGCUAUGAGAUCGUUCUUGCCAUGGUUAGCUUCUUGACCAUGUCUUCUUGCUGGUAGUAUGCUUAGUUUGUCAUGCAAUGCCUUGUGUUGACUGCAUCGAGCUCGCAAACAUGCCUUCAUAAUUCUGUUUAUGCCAUGUCCAGUUUUCUGCUAAGUCUGAAUCUGUUAACGAAACUUGCUAUGUUUACAUGGGUGACAUCAUGUUUUCUGUGCCCUUUUGGCUUAUGGUCAGUAAGGGACUUUUGUUAUACGCUUUGAGUAGAUUCAUGCCAUGCCUUUGUUUGCUAUGUCCUGUUCCUGUAGCAUGUUUUUAUCUUGCUCUAAACAUGUCUUCCUCAUGUUAAUUCCUGGCAUGUUAGUAUUUUCACUAAGUAUGUGAUGCUGAUAUCUUUUGCUCUUUUGCCAUGCUUUUUUCAACCCGCUCUUGUGUGAUUUAGCCAUAGCUCAGUGUUCAUCUUUUGUCAAGCAUCUUGAGUAGAUCACUGCCAUGUACCUUGUUGCUAUGUUGGAGUGCAGUAGCUUAGUUUCUUGUUGCAUUCUAGAUGGCAUCGUGCUGUUAAUCGCAGAAUUGUGCCAUUCUUGUUUUGCUUGCCAUUUGCAAACCAUGCAUCCGAUUCCGGUGAUCUUUAUAUCGAUUUCGGCCGAAAUCAACUCAGCUUUCCAGCGGCACUCUUGGUUUGCCAAGUUGAGGCCUUGUUCAAUCUUUUCCUUUUGGUACAUGCAUAUGCAUUGCAUAUCACAUCCCGCAUAUCAUGCCAUGUUGUCCAUCAUGUUGCUUGCGCAUUGCACCGUGGUUGAUGGUUGUUCCCUUUGAUUGUGUUCUUGCUUUGGGUAGAGCUGGGAGACAGUUACGUGAUCGAGGAACCCAUUGAGUAUGCUUACGAGGAUCAAGCUUACGUCAACUCGGAGAACUUUGCGGGCAAGAUGACCAUACCCUCAAAAUCACUUCUAUCUUUGCUUGCUAGUUGCUCGCUCUAUUGCUAUGCCACGAUACCUAACACUUGCUAUAUCAUGCCUCCCAUAUUGCCAUGUCAAGCCUCUAACCCACUUUUCCUAGCAAACCGUUGUUUGGCUAUGUUACCGCUUUGCUCAGCCCCUCUUAUAGCGUUGCUAGUUGUAGGUGAAGAUGGAGUUUGUUCCAUGUUGGAACAUGGAUAUUUGUUGGGAUAUCACAAUAUCUCUUAUUUUAAUUAAGGCAUCUAAAUACUUGGUAAAGGGUGGAAGGCUCGGCCUUAUGCCUGGUGUUUUGUUCCACUCUUGCCGCCCUAGUUUCCGUUAUACCGGUGUUAUGUUCCUUGAUUUUGCGUUCCUUACGCGGUUGGGUUAUAAUGGGAACCCCUUGACAGUUCGCCUUGAAUAAAACUCCUCCAGCAAGGCCCAACCUUGGUUUUACAUUUGCACUAACAACCUAUCACCUUCCCUUCGGUUCUGCAGACUCAAGGGUCAUCUUUAUUUUAACCCACCCACCCACCCACCCCCCCGGGGGGGAAGUGCUUCUCUAAGUGUUGGUCCGACUUGAGCGAUGUCCGGUGCCCCUGGGCAACCAGGGUCUAUGCCAACCCGACGUCUGGCUCAUCCGGUGUGCCCUGAGAACGAGAUAUGUGCAGCUCCUAUCGGGAUUUGUCGGCACAUCCGAGCGGCUUUGCUGGUCUUGUUUUACCUCGAAAUGUCUUGUAACCGGGAUUCUGAGUCUGAUCGGGUCUUCCUGGGACAAGGAAUAUCCUUCGUUGACCGUGAGAGCUUGUGAUGGGCUAAGUUGGGACACCCUUGCAGGGUUUUGAACUUUCGAAAGUCGUACCCGCGGUUAUGGGCAGAUGGGAAUUUGUUAAUGUCCGGUUGUAGAUAACUUGGCACUUAACUUUAUUAGAAUGCAUCAACCGCGUGUGUAACCAUGAUGGUCUCUUUCCGGCGGGGUCCGGGAAGUGAACACGGCUUUGGAGUUAUGUUUGAACGUAGGCAGCUUCAGGAUCACUUCUUGAUCACUUCUAGUUCACGGCCGUUCUUUGCUUCUCUUCGUGCUCUCAUUUGUGUAAGUUAGCCACCAAAUAUGCUAGUGCUUGCUGCAGCUCCACCUCACUACCUUUUCCUACCCAUAAGCUUAAAUAGUCUUGAUCGUGAGGGUGUGAGAUUUCUGAGUCCCCGUGGCUCACAGUUUACUUCCAAAACCAGUUGCAGGUGUCGUUGAUACCAGUGCAGAUGACGCAGCUGAGCUCAAGUGGGAGCUCGAUGAAGAACGUGUUCGUUGUGUUGUUUUCAUUUCCUUUCGAUCAGUAGUGGAGCCCAGUUGGGGCGAUCAGGGAUCUAGCAUUAGGGGUGGUCUUUCUUUAUUUUUGGUUCCGUAGUCGGACCUUGAUUGUAUUCUGGAUGAUGUAAUGCUAUAUUUAUGUAUUGUGUGAAGUGGCAAUUGUAAGCCAACUCUUUAUCCCAUUCUUAUUCAGUACAAGGGAUGUGUAAAGAUUACCCCUCUUGCGACAUGCCUACUAUGCGGUUAUGCCUCUAAGUCAUGCUCUGACACGUGGGAGAUAUAGCCGCAUCGUGGGUGUUACACUUAGGAAACACCAUACUGUUAAAGGGGGUCAAGGAAAUACUAAGGAAAAUUUUCCAUGUGAUGCUCAACUCAAAAUCCUACACCUACCAAUCCCUUCGAGUGAAGCCAUGGGAAAUCUCAUACAGUUCAGUCAUAUUCUUCAGUGAUAGAGACGAAGUUCUUCUGGUCUUUGAGGAAUUUGUUCUGACUGAGGAGUUAGGAAUUCGCCAAUGCGGAUUGCCUACAUAGUAAGGAACAUGAUAGCCCCGAGGAAUUUGAUACUCAAAAUUCUGACCGUUGUUGUGCUAUGCAAAAGUUGUCCCAAAAUAUCUACCCGCCUAACGGUCAUAUCAUUGAAGGGCAUUUAUGUCUUAUCAUGUCGGGCUGCUCCCUAGGCUAUAAAUAGCCGCCCCCUACAACCACUAGCUGGUUGGCUGCUCCGAGAGAAACUGACACUUGUCAUUUGAGAGCAUCCCAUCCUCCGACGACUUUGAGUGAAAAUCAUCAAGUGAGGAAAACCAAAACCCAAACCCAAACACCUACAAACCCCAAGUGAUUGAGUAUCACUGAAGAGAUUGAUCCUGGGUGGAUCCGAUGCUUGUUACCUUUGAAGACUGUGCUUCUUCCAGACGGUUAGGCGUCAAGGUCUAGAACAUCCAAGAGGAAUUGUGGAUCGCCGAGUGUCCAAGUUUGUGAAGGUUCGGAAGUCACCUGAAGACUUACCACGAGUGAUUGGGCGAGGUCUGUGUGACCUUAGCUCAAGGAGAAUACGGUGAGGACUGUGUGUCCUCGGGUUUAAAUACCUAGCCGCUCCAACCAGAUGUACAACUGAGACAACAGUUGGAACUGGUCUACCAAAUCAUUGUCUUCACCAAGCUCACUAGUUCUAUUUCCUCAACUCUUUCAUUUCCUCAUAACUGUGUUGAGUGCUUGUUCAUAUUUGUGUUUGAAGACUUUGACUGAAGACUUUCUCGAUUUCCUCAGUUCAAUUUCUUCAGUCGGUUUGUCUUCAUCCUGUUUUAUCCUGUGCUUACGCGUUCUGUACUCUGUGCCUGUCUUCAUUUCAUCAUGAUGACUAUGCUUGUGUUCUGUUAUGUUUACUUUUGAGUACUUAUUCCGCUGCUAGUAGUUCUUCGCUAAGGAAUUUCCUCACCUGCAAAUUCCUCAGUGAAGAAUUCAUAAAAAUCACCUAUUCACCCCCCUCUAGUCGAUAUAACGCACUUUCAAUCUCUACCACUGCAUUCUAUUCCAUCUGUAGUGAUAAUGUGCAUGGCUCACGAUCAUGUAUUGAGUGGAGUUGAAAAUGCUAAAGCGCAUUAAAAAGUAUAAUACAAUUUCUUGGUUUGACACCGGGGUCCUCAUGAUUUAUAUUUAUGCGGUGAAAGUGGAGUCAUGCCAUACUUACACAAGUCAAUGAGUAGGGAUAACAUUCAUUGAGCAUUGUAUAUUUUGAAAAAGAAUGAUUAUGUUCUUGUAUUCAUGGAUAUUAUUAUGUUGAUAUCAAUUAGUUCAUCGUUUCUCAAUAUUCAUACCGUAAAAAGAUGAUGUAAUACACAUGCUAGGUAGCAUUCAACAUCAAAAAUUCUGUUUUUAUCAUUUACCUACUCGAGGACGAGCAAGAAUUAAGCUUGGGGAUGCUGAUACAUUUCCAACAUAUCUAUAAUUUUUAAUCAUUUCAUGCUAUUAUAUUAUCGAUCUUAGAUACUUUAUAUGCAAUUUUAUAUCAUUUCUUGGAACUAACCUAUUAACUCAGUGCCCAGUUGUCAGUGGUAAAACCGGCAGACAUCAGGGUAGGGGGUCCCGAGCUGUGGAUCUCGGAUCAAUGGUAACAGGAAUGAAGGAGAUGAUUUUUACCCAGGUUCGGGCCAUCUCUAUGGACGUAAAACCCUAUGUCUUGCUCUUGUUUAUAUUGAUGAUGAUGUAUCGAGCACAAGCUUGAUCUACCUCGAGGUCGUAAGGAAAGACCUAACUCUAGGGAUAGGUGAAUGUAAUUAUGUUCAAGUCCCUUCUAUGGGCUAAAACCUUUGGCCUAUAUACACGUCAGAUAGGGCAUCUAGGGUUACAUGGUCGGUAUCUAGGGGAGCGCAUGGAUGCAGUAGGAGAUGUCUUGGAGUAUACGCCAAGUCGUAGGUAGAUGAGGUCUUGAUCACGUCCAUGUGUGUAGCUUCUGGAGUACAUCCAAUGGAGAAUGAGGCCUACAUGACUAGCCCAAAGACUAUGGGCCGACUUGGUUGGCACCCCCUAGUCCGGGAUGAUGACCCACAAGUAUAGGGGAUCUACCGUAGUCCUUUCGAUAAGUAAUAGUAUCGAACCCAACGAGGAGCAGAAGGAAAUGACAAGCGGUUUUCAGCAAGGUAUUUUGUGUAGGCACUGCAAUUAUCGGUAACAGAUAGUUUUAUAGCAGGGUAAUUUGUAACGGGUAACAAGUGACAAGUGUAAAAAGGUGCAGCAAGGUGGCCCCAUCCUUUUUAUUGCAAAGGAUAAGCCUGGACGAACUCUUAUAUAAAGCAAAGCGCUCCCGAGGACACAUGGGAAUUACCGUCAAGUUAGUUUUCAUCAUGCUCAUAUGAUUCGCGUUCGUUACUUUGAUAAUUUGAUAUGUGGGUGCAUGGGUGCUUGGCUGUUGUCCUUACUUGGAAAAGCCUCCCACUUAUGAUUAACCCCUCUUGCAAACAUCCGCAACUACGAAAGAAGAAUUGAGAUAAAUCUAACCAUAGCAUGAAACAUGUGGAUCCAAAUUAGCCCCUUACGAAGCAACGCAUAAACUAGGGUUUAAGUUUCUGUCACUCUAGCAACCCAUCAUCUACUUACAACUUCCCAAUGCUUCCACUAGGCCCAAAUCAUGGUGAAGUACUGAAGUGUCAUGUAGUCGACGUUCACAUAACACCACUAGAGGAAAGACAACAUACAUCUCAUCAAAAUAUCGAACGAAUACCAAAUUCACAUGAUUACUUAUAACAAGAAUUCUCCCAUGUCCUCAGGAACAAACGUAACUAUUCACUAAGCAUGUUCAUGUUCAAGAUCAGAGGGGUAAUAAAUAUCAUUAAGGAUCUAAACAUAUGAUUUUCCACCAUAACCAACUAGCAUCAACUACGAGGAGUAAUCAACACUACUAGCAACCCACAGGUACCAAUCUGAUGUUUUGGGACAAAGACUGAAUACAAGAGAUGAACUAGGGUUUGAGAGGAGAUGGUGCUGGUGAAGAUGUUGAUGAAGAUUGACCCUCCCUCAAUGAGAGGAUCGUUGGUGAUGAUGAUGGCUUCGAUUUCCCCUUCCUAGAGGGAAGUUUCCCCGGCAGAAUAGCUCCGCCGGAGCCCUAGAUUGCUUCUGCCCAGGUUCCGCCUCGAGAUAGUGGUGCUUCGUCCCAAAAGCUGCCUUCUAAUUUUUUUCUACGUCAAAACAUUUCAUAUAGCACAAGAUGGGCACCAACCGAUGGCCAGGGGGCCCACAAGCCCUAGGGGUAGGGCACGCCCCUAGGCUUGUGGCCACCUGGUGGGUCCCCUUUUGUUGUUUCUUCGCCCAAUAUUUUUUAUAUAUUCCAAAAUAAUUCUCCGUAAAGUUUCAGGACAUUUGGGGUUGUGCAGAAUAGAUAUCUCAGAUUUGCUCCUUUCCGUUCCAGAAUUCUAGCUGUCGGCAUUCUCUCUGUUCAUAUAAACCUUGUAAAAUAAGAGAGAAAAGGCAUAAGUAUUGUAGCAUAAUGUGAAAUAACAGCCCAUAAUGCAAUAAAUAUCAAUAUAAAAGCAUGAUGCACAAUGGACGUAUCAUGGGAGACCGUCAAUAGCCCCCGAACAGGUCUUCUAUGCCGAGGACGGCCUCCUUGAUGGGAACAACUUCGGAUCCGAAGUACUUGGUUCGAUAGACGAGUUACCUUCUUUGGUGAUUUAAGAUACCUUUCUUUCAAAUGUCACCAUGGAACACCCCUCGAAGGAGUAGCAUCCCCUGACCAUGACCUAGUCGAACCCACUCGGCAUCCGAAGACGUGAGGUUGCUUAGCCUUGAAGGCCUACCACGUAGGUGUGAACAAUGUGCCUAGCCUGACAACUUUACCGAAGUGCCGCCACCCACGACUGGACAGGCAGUUACUUCUCACCCGAAUCAUGGUCCGAGGCACUCUUCUCAUUGGAACGUCCCAUCCAUACGGAGAUCGUGCCCGUUUUCAAAGGGAUAUCAUUAAGAUUUUGUUUCUCCAUAUAUGUAUAACGACAUAAUUUAUGGGUAGUGACGAUUUCAAUGGCGCGGCAGGAGGGACUCUUGGCCUUUUAUCAGCCUAUAUAAUAGCAAAGAGAUAGCGACGGGAAAAGCACGCUCUCAUUCCUCACUGCUUGCUGCCUCUCGAGCUCCAGCGCCGAGAUCCAACCCCGACCCUAUCUCGCGUAGCGCAUCCUAACCUCCAUCCCCAGCAAUGGCAGAUGCCAACCUCAAGGGGCAUUGUAUGGUUCCUCCAUCACGGAGGGCACCAUCUUGGAGCUGCGAAGUGCGGUGCACAUCCCCACUAAGCUCAACACCUGAGUGCUGGAUCCAAACCCACGGGUACCCGCUCCCAAUCCUGGGGAGAGGGUGAUCUUCGUCCCCCACCUCGUCAAAGGCCUGGAGUUCCCGUUGCACCCCUUCGUGCGCGGGAUCAUGUUCUUAUGUGGGCUGGAUUUCUGCCAUCUAGCCCCAAAUUAUAUCCUCCACCUCACCUCCUUCAUUACGGUCUGGGAGGCCUUCCUCUCCAUCGAGCCACACUUUGGAUUGUGGUUGAAGAUCUUCGGCAUCAAGCCAAAAUCCAGCGGCUCCGAGCUCGCAGAGUGCGGAGGGGCGAUGACUAGCAAGAACCAGAAGGUGGGUCGGUUCAAGGGCACAUCAUGGAGACCAUAAAGGAGUGGCAACGCGAGUGGUUUUACAUCACCGAGCAACUCCCUACCGGCUAGGCUGAGGUCCCGGCAUUUUCAUCGGGACCUACGAAGAAGCUCAUGUCUUGGAAGAAGGGCAUGGACGGGGCGAACCCAGGGGAGGUGAAGGCGCUGUCCGAGAAGAUCAAGUUCUGGACCGACCAGAAGAACCUCCAACUAGUGGACGUGGUGAAACUGGGGUAAAAAGUAGAUGGGUUUUGCGAUUGUGUCUUGUUGUUUCAAUUCCGUGUAUAUAAGAGGUGGCUGGACUUGUCGUGCAAGGAAAGGUUUAGAUUCACGUCCAAAACCCUAGUUUGGGUCCAACUCGGAGUCCAAACUUUCCAAAACUGUUCAGUUUAAAAGCUGGCUGCACCUUGCGGGUCACUUUUGAGGGAGUAAAUGAUCUCGGAUGAAAGUGAGCCUGAAAGAAAUUUUAGCCGUUUCGACAAGAUGAACAACUUUCAUGUUGAACUUUUUCGAUUUGAAGCCAUCCUAAGGGGCGAAUCGCUCGCGCAAAACAGAUAAUCAAUGGGGCUGCCCAUCAGACGUCAGCUAUAUGCGUGUCUGAUUGGGCGCGCCACAUUUUACUCAUGGUAGGGCCGCACUCUGAUUGCUCUAACUUUGGCAUACGAUAUGGGAUUAAGACGACUUUUAUAUUAAAAUCAACCGUGUCUACGAGACGAAGACAAUAUGUGUAGAACACUUUCUCAUAUGAGGCCGUCUUGGAUGCGUAAUCAGCCGAACGGCACUCUGAAUAUCAAAUCUUAGUGCUUCAAGCUCAACUUAGGCCCUCGAGAUAAAAUCGGAUGGUGAUGACCCAAACUUCAAAGAUGAUCAUGUCGACAAUAUGGAACUUCUUCAUAUAGAGUACUUGUUCAUUUGAGGCCAUAUUAAUAAUGUUUUCUUCCAUGCCAAAAUUUGAUUGUCAACAGUGUUGUACAUGAAAAAGAGGCAGGGCCAGUAGGAUACUAGGAUAUGUAUUUAUAGGGGGACAAGGACAAAAAUAAGAGGUGGAGAAGGAUGAGAUAUGUAUUUAUAGGAGGACAAGAGGCAUAGGUGCGGACAUGAAGUUUCUGCUCGUGAGCUCAUAUGCCCCUAUGCUAGAAGACUGUCGUCGAGAAUUAAGUGAGUUUAGGAAAGCUUGUGUCGAGCUUUGUAAUAGGGAAUCUAACGUAGUAUUACAUGUGGUAGCUAGUUGGGGUCGUGAAAACCAGCUUUCGGCUUGGUUAGAUUCACCCCCAGAGUUUAUCGUUAAAUUUCUUGCAAACAAUGUAGUCGUGACUUGAGUUUAAUAAAAGUAACUGGAUGGUCAUUCCGUCAAAAAAUCAUAAAAAAGAGUAAACAAAUUCAAAAAUACUGGUAAACAUUUUUUUCGGGGAGGUGGGGGGGGGGGCAAACAUUGAAAAAUUCUGAAUAUACAUGCAAAUUUUCAUGAAGAAAUAACAUUCCAGAAAUGCUUUCCUAAGAAAAAGAAAAUUGAUGCUCCAAAAGGUCUGUUUCUUGGAGCAUCAGUUUUGGGUUUUUUUACGAAGCAUUUAAAAUGUUUUUUUUUCAUAAAAACUUGCAAGCAUAUUAAGAAUUCUUUAAUGUUUAUUAAAAAACCAGAUUUUCUGUAAAAAAUAAUAAUUAUUUUUAUUUUCAAUUCACUAGGGUGCAUAUGAGCUCCCGAGUAGAAUAGUACUUCAACAUAGGUGCUUGUUAUGCAUGAAAGAAACCACGCGCUGGCGUGCAAGACCUCUUAAUUGGCGCCUUCUGUGCCCAAAUAAGUAGGCAGCGCUCACGCGCGCCAUAGCGAGCCGCUGCCCAGCAGGGAUUUCGUUCCCUAACUCGCUCAUCGCCUUACUUUUUUUUAAACACCACCUCAUAUAUUAAUUAACCAAAGAACGUGUUUCAAUCAUUCAUUACAGAGUUCAUCACAUAGAACGGUACAUCAUUAACAAGAAUCCCGUCCACUCUAUUAUCAAAACUAAACUUAGCUAUUAGAUGGGCCACCUCAUUAGUCGAAUGCCUAAUUUUUGACACUCUGAAGCUAUCCAUUAGCUUAGAAAUACUCCAUGCUUCCUUCUUCAGAUCAUGCAGAGCUGAUCUAUCAUCAAAUUCGUUUGGAAACAUCGCCGCAAUAAAAGCGCAGUCAGUCUCUAAAAUUAUAGGAGAAUGAAGUGUCAUAUCUAUAUAGAGACCACCAAUGCAAACUCGGAGGUCCGCUUCCUCCAUGCUACUACACCUCCCAAUGUAGUCCCAUGAAGAUAUCAUCGCCCUAUUUGUGUUUUUGUUAUUGGGAUUUGCUUUGAUAUGUUGAUAUGAUUGACCAGUUGACCAUUGACUCGACCAAUUGAGUGUUGACUCGGCUGUUGACCCUUGGAAAAGUUCAUGAAUUUAAAAGGUUUGCAGAUUUAAAAAUAAAGUUCACGAACAUGCAAAAAGUUUGCAAAUUCAAAAAAAGUUUGCGAAACUAAAAAAAGGGCAUGCAUUCGAAAAAGUUCACUAAUACAAGAAGAGUUUGUGAAUUCAAAAAAAAAAGUAUGUUCGCGAAGUCAACAAAAUUUCACAACUCCAAAAAAUUUCAUGAAAAGUUCAAAAAAAUGAAAAGAGUUCUUAAGGUAGAAAAAAAGGAAAUGGAAUUUGGGGAAAAAGUUCAUUAAGUUGAGAAAAGUUCAUGAAGUUGAGAAAAAUUCACGAAUUUGAAACAAGUUCAAAACUUGGAAAAGAUCACAACUAGAAAAAAAAGUGCACAAAAAUGGAAAACAAAUCAUGAACUUGGAAAAAUUCCGUGGAUUCAUAAAAUGUUCGCACUUGUUUUCUAAAAAUUCACAAAUUGAAGUUCACAAUAAUUGAAAAAAAUCACAAAAUUGGAAAAGGGUUCACGAAAUCAAAAAAAACAUCAAUUCAUGAAAAGUUCACAAAUUUUCAAGAGAAAUUCAUAAAUUUGAAAAAUACCAUGAAAUUUGAAAAAAGAAAGUUCACACAUUUGAAAGAAUGUAAAAAAUAAAAAUAAAACAAAAUGGAAUAAAAAUCGAAAAGGAAUAACGUGUAAACCAAGGAAAAACCCGCUAUGGAAGAAACAAGAAAAACUUCCGAGAAACUAAAAUACCUACAAAACCAGUGAAAAACACCUAUAAAUGACGCUUAAGGCGCCAAAUAUGAAUUGGGGGUGGCGUGCUGCCUUCGAACUGUAGGUAAAACACCGAAAUCACUAAUUGAGUAGUACUUUUUUCAAGAUCACUUUCACUUUCUCAAGUGCCAGAGUUUUCCUUCUUUUUAAUCCGUUUAUUCAAAACGUUUUCUUUCUUAAACCACGGGUCCGAAAUUAAACCGUUUUCACUGUUGGAUUCCUCGCAUCGAGAUCUUCGAAACUAGAUCUCAUGUUGACAGGUUUUGACGAAGGACCAAAACUGCCUCUUAUAGAAGGAAAGAAUAGAAAAAGCGUUUUUUCUGUUUCCAAGAGGCACGGUCAUGCCUCUCAUAGAAGCAAAACCGUGUCUCUCAUAGAAGAAAAAAAUAUAUUUUUUUUCGUUUUCAGUAGGCAUGGCCGUGCCUCUCGUGGAAUAAAAAAUGUGCCUCACACGAAAGGGAAAAAGAUAAAACUUGUUUUUUUUUGUUUCCGAGAGGUACGACCAUGCCUCUCACGAAAGCAAAACUGUACCUGUCAUGGAAGGAAAAUAACCGUGUUUUUCCCGUGACCGAGAGGCACUCACGGAAGCAAAAUUGUGCAUCUUGUGAAAGGAAAAAAAUAAAACACGUAUUUUUUCAUUUCCGAGAGGCACGGCCGUGCCUCUCGUGAAAGCAAAUCCAUGCUCUUUGCGGAAGUAAAACCGUGUCUCUCAUGGAAGAAAAAAUGCGUUUUUUCAUGAAAAAUAAAAAAAAAUCUCCAAAAGCUAAGAAAGGCCGGUGAAAAAACAAAAAACCGAAAAACCCCAGAGAAACAUCUAAAAUGCUGAAAACGUGUGUGAAAAAUGAAAAAAAAAUAGAUCCAAAACACAACAUGUGACGGCGACAGAGAGCGCGCCACUUGGCGUGCUUUUAGUCCACCCCUAAGUGAUCGUUAGGAGGCUUCCGGAGAAGCGCUUGUUGAUCAGUUGCUGUCGUAAAAGACUCGUACAAGAAGGUAAAGGUGCUGUCUAGACUCUAGGUCCAUGUGAUGGCCCAAAAUACUCGAAAAAAAACGCAUACAGUGGUCGGUUUAAUGGGCUUGGACUACUGUGCUGCGCUGAUUCAGCGCACCGAGCGCGGAACAAGAAUUGGGUUGUACUGGACCUGUAUACUGUGCAGCCUACUGGAAUAGUAAACUCCGGCUUUAAUAAACAGCUCAUCAGGAAGUAAUUUGGCUAAAUAAAAUACCAAACAAUCUCCUAAAAUACUAGGAACACACACUAAAAUAUUACUACAAAUAUAGAGUAUAGUGAACAUUGUUUCCAGCUCAAAUAUGAAAUAAAAUAGACAUAAAUUUUGAUAAAUUUUAUUUCGGGCCUUAUAACUAUUCCCUAUUUUUUCUUCAAAAUUACAUUGAAUAACAAAAUUAUAUUUAAAAUACUUCCCAAUUCUCUUUCUAUUGGAGGGGUCAUAUUGCCUUCUCUCAUUUGAUUUACGUUUUGAGUUGGAUUUAUUUUAAAUACUAAACUCUAAAUAAAACCCAAUUACAUAUCAAAAAUGGAUAUUUGGGAAGAUAUUUUCAUGCCUCUCAAUUUAAAUAUUUACUUAAUUAUAAAAGUUUCAAAUCGUUGUCAAGACUAUAUAACACCAAGCAAUACAAGCAAAAUUUAAUUUAAUCUUGUUUAAAUAAUUAACAUUCGCAAUAAGGACGAUAAGAAAACCGCGCGGCCACCCUGGGAUUCAUCAAACGGUCUCUGCACGAUUUCAUUCCUAGCACGCUCCUCAUGGAGUAGAAACUGUAGAUUACAAGACUCCAUACACAAGACCUCUCUGUCAUCCUCGCCACCCUGCAAGGAGAGAAGCGAGCAUCCUAAAAGAAUAGGUGCAAAGAUGAUAGGAAACAAGCAUUCAUUCGCUCAAAUCAAAGCUUACAAACGCACGACAAUGUCAAAAUUAAUAGCUAGGUGGCCUAGAGGCUGGGAGCGUCGAGAGGGGGUGUGAGCGGCGUUGAUGUUGUGACGACUAUUGGACCGGAGACCGGGAGCUGCAAGGCUGCAAGCCCCACGGCUGUCGUCAUGGUCUCACUAGUGCUUGCCGCUAUCCGGGUUGCUGGCCCUGAUGAUGUGCUUGUCUGUGCCAUCAUCAUGAGUUGCUUGAGGGCGAUGGCCUGUGGGGCUUCCUCCUCAUCCGACGCUAUUGCGAAGGCGGGAUGGUUGUCUUUGAUCUCCUCCGUUGAUGUGGUGUUGAGGUUGGCCGUGUGUUCCCGGUCUUCAUUACUGGUGGCGGGAGGGGCUCCUCGACCUUCGUGUCCGAGAUGGAGAUUAUGGCCAUGUUUGGAUCCAUAGGUUAGAGUUAGUUUGGGUUAGUUUGGACUCAACUAACCCAAAAAUAUUCAAACAGGAGGGUUAGUUUGGGUUAGAUGCAUCUAACCCAUCCAAAAAAACCAACCCACCCAAGAGGUGAUUAUUUGGGUUAGUUCUUCUCGAGACCACUAAAAAACACUUUUUUCACUCGCUCUCCCUCCAGCAGAUCCCUUCCCACUUCCUCAGCUUCUCGUCCUCUCCCUCCCUCCCUCUCACACCGCCCGUGAAGGCGCCUCACCGUAUCCGCGCUCCAUCUAACCCUCCCAUCCAAACACCUCUUUGGUUAGAGUUAGUUCAAGGUUAGUUUAGAGUUAGAAUCUAACUCUAACCUCUGGCUGAGUUAGAGUAUCCAAACAAGGCCUAUGUCGGCUUCGCUGCUCACCUCAUUGGAGAGCGAGAUAAGGUCGGCAGUGUCGACGAUGCAGUCAAAGACAAAAUCGUUGAUGAUGCGGUCUUGUAGGUUGUAGUUGACGUAGUAGUUGUCCCAGACCAUGCCGACGAAGUAUGUGGCUAGGCAGGCUGGUGGACCCCUACGAGGUCACCACAGCGCCUCGCCCACGACGCUAAGGCCUUGGCCUCAGGUGCCAGGGUUAUUGGUUCUGGAUCGUCACCCUCCGAGUCAGAGGCCGAGGUGAGGGUGUCGUGUAGUCCCACAGAUCUGACCAAUUUUCAAUUUCUCAACUGAUCUGGUUAUGCAGGCAUGUGUGGAUCACCUGCUGGUACGUGGCUCCAGCGUUUUGGUGCCCAAACAAGCCCUAUGAGCCAGAGGUUGGUGGCGAAGUUGCCACUAGGGUCGAUGAAGUCACCGAUGUGAUCUGGUGGAUCGGCGGGCCGCACAUAUGGAGGCCGUCGUGGCUGUUGACGACGAAGGCCAUAGCACCGACAUAGAUCGUGUGGACAUGGUGGGCCGAUGGGUUAACGUCGACCCGGCCCGUACCAUUUGCAGUGAAGGCGAAAGAGACGAAAUUAAGCUCUCUCUCUCUCUCUCUCUCUCUCUCCCGAUGGUAGGCAGUUGGGAGCCGAAAGAGAUCUGAUCUGGGAUCGGUCUCCAGCUGACACGGCCGUGCCUGAUGCACCAACUGGCAGUGCAUAAUCCGGUCAGUACCCUUGGUAGGGUUGCUAACAUGCCCAAAAGUACUAGAUCAGAGGUCGCACAUGGGUUUUAUCUCGGUUCAGGCCUUUAGUGAGGAGUAACACCCUACAUCCCGCUUGUUGUUAUUAUUCAUGGUGGGUAUGCCUCAUGUGAGGGAUUACAAGUGCUACCAAGAGUCUAGUCUACGAGAGUAGAUGAGAAUGAGAGCCCCGUAGCCUCCACCUUAUAUGCACAGUGAGGGCUAGGGUUUUACAGGAGGGAGAUUCGAUCUAGCUCGCUACAAGGAUGGCUUGCGUACUAAGAUGAUCUGUUGGUGUAUAUAUGUUGCUCCAGGCUCCUCGUGGCUGUUAGAAGAAACAUGGUGGACCUUGUCGGCCCCUUGGUAGGCAUGUUGCCGGGCUCCCUGUGAAGAACAAAUCCCCGGUGUGUUACACCGUCACUAUUGUUGUACUAGAGAUAUUUACAUGUUAUUCAUGGAUGAACUAUGCUAUUUUUUAUAAUUACUUUGAAUGUUGCUGGAUGAUUUAGUUAAACAGACGAAAUAUCAUCUGUUUUAUGUCAAUUAUGUCCAAACUUUGCUAAAUUCCGUCGUGUUUGACGACAUUCAUCCAUUGUUAAAAUCUCAUUUGAAAUAUAUGCGUACAUGGUUGAAUGGCGGGCUCCCACAUCACUUCCGCGGACUGGUCUCACCGAUUUACGGACUGAUAUGGUGUCUGAUGUGGAUUCAAUGUCAGAGAUACCUUUAUCAACCAUCGUAGGACUCUAAACAUUCGCUACAAAGAACGCAAAAGUAAAAGUACAACAAUGCUAGGAGUUGUUGGGUCUUCUUUGGUUAUUCGUUGGCAGUUGUUUUCUUUCUUUUCUUUUGUUGUUGUUAUGGUGUUUCGGUCUAAUUGUUUUUAUAAAUUAGGUCACCCUAUAUAUUUUGGGAACGUUGGCAGAAGAGUUGUCAAAUUCAUUGAUCCGAAGAAGGUAUUAUAAGGACAUCCUCAAAGGCGGAAUGCAUCGCAUAAAGGUGAGUGCCAAAAAGAAGAAAGGAAAACAAGGAUGCUCAGUUUAUUAUGGAAAACCAGGCAAAAACCAUAGCAUUGCCUAGCUGGACUAGAUCUAAAGCACCACAAUACAUACAAAAACGUUGGAAGGCGAAACCCCACAACACACCCGGUUGCACACUUGAGCGCCUUUGCUGCUACCAGAGUGCAUACCAACAACUGUCACAUUGUACUGGACUGCCACGAGCAUAUCCACAAGCCUCAAUGACACCGAAGAGGAACGAUAAGUACGAAAAAGGGAAAACCUAUGCCGCUCCGAUUCCACGAGACUAGUUGACAUAGCUCACCCGACGCUACUUGUAUGUGAAGGGUUCUCCUGUUGCUCUCACAGCCAACCAAACAACCGGCUCCAAAUAGAAGCACCACUAAUGACUCCACGCUCAUCCUAACAAUUACUGCUCCAGAUCCACUGCACCACCACCAACUAAAUGCUCCAUCACCAGACUUGGCUCCAAAGAAAAACAUGGAUCAAGGAGGUGUCGGACCCCCUCGAUGGCGCCUCCAACAAGAAAAAUCACACCCGAGAGCAUCAUUCGCCAUCAGCCCAGACCGAAGUCGAGCAUGACUUUCAUUGGGGGAAGCGAGCACCUAUGCCAAGGACGACAUCUCCAACACACCACCACCAGACUGGAGGUGUGACGCCCCCGAUUCAAUCAUACACUAAUCACACACAAAAAUGUGUACGAUCAAGAUCGGGGACUCACGAGAAGAUAUCACAACACAACUCUAAACCCAAAUAAAUUCAUGCAGGCUUUAUAUUACAAGCCGGGGGCCUCGAGGGCUCAAAUACAUCAGCUCGAAUACAAAUGAGUCAGUGGAAGCAACAAUAUCUGAGUACAGACAUAAGUUAAACAAGUUUGCUUUAAGAAGGCUAGCACAAAAGUAUCUACGAUCGAAAAGGCAAGGCCUCCUACCUGGGAGCCUCCUAACUACUCCUGGUCACCAGCGGUCUCCACAUAGUAGUAGGCUCCGUCGGGGUAGUAGUAGUCAUCGGUGGUGGCAUCUGACUCAUGGACUUCGCCAUCUGAUCGCAACAAUCGGGUAUAGGGGAAAAGAGGUAGCAAAGCAACCGCGAAUACUCAUCCAAAGUACUCACAAGACUUACAUCAGAUCUAAGCUAAGUAUGCAUCAAUAUCAAAGGAAAGGGUUGUAUCUGUGGACUGGACUGCAGUUUACCAGAAGAGAAGGGAAAGCCUAGCCUAUCAAAGACUAGCAUCUUGCGGCAUUAGAAGAGUGUAGAUUAGCAUAAUAUAAAGUAAUAGUAUGUUGUAGUAACCACGCCUAGAGAUUCUUCCUCGACUCCCGGCAGAAGGCAAUCUCGGAGCCACAUAUCCAUUUCAUGCCUCAGCAUCCAAUUCUAGUUUUAAAGAUCAGGAUACAACUCUAAGUCGUCCUGUUACCAUGGACACAGCUAUUCGAAUAGAUUAACUUCCCUGCAUGGAUGCACCACAUUACCCAACACGCUCGAUCACUCUGGCCGGACACACUUUCCUGUGUCAUGCCCGGCCUCGGAAGAUCAACACGUCGUAGCCCUAUCUAGGCUCAACAGAGAGGCCAGCACAUCAGUCUACAUCCUAAGCAUGCAGGGAUCUUGGGCCCAUCGCCCUUUGCACUGUUGCACAUUGAGUGGGUGGCCUAUGUCGUCCUGGCAACCUCCCUAUAUAAGGCAGGUGCUUACGCAGGCCACCCGGGCGCGCGCCGCUCAGUCGGUGACUUUUGAAGAGCUUCGGCUGAUACAUACGACGCCGAGUGCCCAUAUAUGUUCCCUUGUGGUGGUUAGUGCGUAUAGGUCAGUGGCCAACUCAGAUCAAAUACCCAAAUUGUUGGUGUCUUGGGAGCGCGCGGUAAAGAGCAGAGACUCACGAUCAUGUGACCCCGUCGCCCCGUCUCGUGGACUUACGGCAAGGGACCGGAAUGCCUGGCCGUUCCACGUAGAGAUCUCGCGGGUACCCUCCAGGUCAACCCAACUGCACAUCAACUCGUGGUACCCUCAUGGUCAACCCGACUCGCAAGAGACUGUCACGAACUCAGGUCCACCUCUACCGGGGUGGUACCGCCUGUCCCUCCAGUUCUAUAGUAACAGUAAAACUCACGGGUGCCCCUCGGGGCCGACCCGUCUUUAACAUGGUCCUGUGGUAAAGUCAAAGUAACCGUGUGUCCAUAACAUCAAGGGGGAAACCCGAGGAAUCACCCUUGAUGGAUUCCCACUCAAUAUAACCAUCAAGGUGAACUUAGAGGAAUCACCCUCGAGGUUUCACUCUUGAUGUGUUGCGCGAAAGGGUCGUUAUCGGGAGUGGUGAAGAAGGAAUCACCCUCCGUAGACCACGACCGAUUAACUACACUACAAAGAUCUCAUCAAAAGUGCUAUACGAGGUAUCACCCUCGAUACUCGAUAGUAACCCUAUAGUGUCACACAACUAAGGGGGUGUGAUGUGAUGUGUCGGGCUCUGGACAUCGAUCAUGUUGAUCAAGUCAUUGAACAUAAAGCAGGGGCAACUGGGACAAGGUGAGGGGUCACUGGUGGAUCACUGACCAACCUAUACUAAGCAGUUCAGGAUAAGCAGGUAAGGUAACAAUUGCAGGUUACAAAAUCAGGCUAUGCAUCAGAAUAGGAUCAUACAAAAGCAGUAGUGGUUCUAAUGCAAGCAUAAGAGAGAAUGGAAAUGAGCGAUAUCGAAAUGAUCAGGGGGGUUUGCUUGCCUGGAAGCUCUGCAGACAGAUACAAACCCUCGGCGGUGAAGUAGUCUAUCACCGGAUCAACAGCGGUCUCGGGGUCUACCAGAGAAUAAGUAACGGAGGCGGAACACAAUAAAUAACAGAGCAAUCAAUAGCAUCACAAAGCAAUACAUGGCAAUAUGUUGUGCUAGGGGUGACGUAUCGCAGUGCUACAUGUUACAGACGGAGCGAGAAAACAUCUGGGAAUGUUUUCCUGGCUUUAGGCAGUUUUCAAACAGAUGAAACAUAGGGGAAGGGUCCAUGUUUGCAGUGUUAGAGGCAUGUGGCAGGUAUGUGGAUGACAUAUUUGGAUUCGUCUUAUUUCUCUAGUAAUUUUCAUAUAUACAAUAUUUUCAUCCGAAUUACGGUUUAUAUUCUAUUAAUUUUUGUAAGUUUUAAUGUUUUUAAAUUACUAUAAUAGUCUCUCCCUAUAUAUAUAUAAUAUAUCUCCCAUAGUUGCCAUGUUUUCGAUAUGGUGGCUGAAAAAAAAGGGUACAACGAGGUUCGGUGGCUGAAAACAAUAGGGUACAAAGAGGGUAUACAUCUCUCGAAUGGUUUUUUUAUAGCGGGGACGUGAGCCAAUCCGUUUGGGUACGAUGAACCCGGUACGGUACCAUGGGUCGAGGAACGCAGUUCCUGAAGAACGAAGACUCCCUGACGGUCAGAAUUCCUUGCUGUUAAUGGAUCCCUUGCAACUAAUGGACUUGAGGAAGAACGAGGAGUCCUUGAGAAAAGAAACGACGGCGUGAGUAAAUUAUGCCUCGCGUCUGUUGGAUUCUCGAACCUGAAUCGAGGAGCAGGCUGCGGGGAUGCCGAAUCUUCAUCGAAUCGUACUGAAUCCGACCUCGCUCCCGAAUCCGAUUCCGGGUCAACGAAUCGGGAUCGAGGGACGGCCUACCGUUCCCCGUUUCCGGCUACUAUGAUCUCUCCCUGAUAAUAAAGCACGGAUUGAUUCCGUGGGUUCACCGUCACAUAUUUUGGCAAAAGAGUCCUUCUAUAUUUUCUGGUAAUCUAUAUAUCUACUAACCCACGGGCAAAAUUUCCCCUCCCUACGGACCUGAGUUGGAGUCAAACUACACCUCCCAGUUGCCUUCCCAACCCCUUCAAUAAAUAUCAAUUUGAGAGGCGGAUGAGAAGCAGACAAGAAGGCUUGCCACGGACCUCCACUCGUGCUGCCAGGAGCUUCCGUGGGUCAAGUUGCUACCGUCCCAAGAUCCCCUAUUGUGCCGCUGCUCCGUUCCACACCGCCGGAUCGACGCCGCCGAUGCCGUGUGGUGCUGCGAUCACCCCGUUCAAUAUGAAGAAUCGAUGAUGCUGAUAAGUCGUAUGAUCGAUUUCCCCUUGAUUUCCUCAACCAGAAAAAGAUCGAGAUAACUCCGCUCCAGUCAUCCGACCACGUCGACUUGCCGCAGUGCACGCCGACUGGGAGAUGGGAGAACGCUCUCCAGCAUUGGGUGUUCCGCGGCACAUCCCAGCGGCUGGGGAAUGGGAGCGCACUCUCCUCCAGGGCAUCCCAAACAGUGUCUUGGUUAGCGAGGGCCGCUGCUUCUUAUCCGUGUUGCCGAUCUGACUGCUCCACAAGCCCCUACUUCAGCGAAGAUGCAGAGGCAGACGAGGUCGACGCGGGAGAAAAAGUCGUCAGGGGAGGCGGCGCUGCAGGGAGAGGAAGUCGAAGGACAUGGCUGGGCUGUGAGAGGUCACGCCAAGGGAGAUCAGGGGAAGAUGAGCUAACAGGCAGGUCAGAGAACCGGAGGAGCGCUCGUGUUUGACCCUGAUGCGGGAUUGCACAGGCAACAGAGCUGAGGGUGUAGGGAACGAGGUGUCCGUGGCAAUGGGGCUGAAUGAAAGAUGAAAUUAUUGACCGCUCGUUCUCUACAAUUUGGAUGAGAGACUACACUAUGAUGCUACUACCUGCGGCUUGAUUAUUAUAUUUUCUGAAGUUGCGGUGUUGCGGUCGCUUGCUAUCAUACAAGGUGGGGGAAAGAAAGAGAGGGGAGAUUUUUCAAGAUAAAAAUAUCUUUGUUUUGGGUUGUGUUGUCGGUGCUUGUUUGGUGGUGCUACUAAUGCUACAGAAGAGAUACUGACUGCUGGCAUUAAUUAUAAGAGUUUCAUGGCUGCUGUUUAUUGCUACUAGAUUGAGUGUUUUGUAAGCAUUGUGCGUGAGGUUUGCAUGAUCAAUAACAUGUUCAACUGAUUUCUGGUAUUUAUGAACUAUAUUUUUGGGAUGCUUUCUUUUUCAUUUUAUUUUGUUACGCUAGAUUUUCCGUGAAAAAGAAAUAUUAUGAGAGGUGCAACGAUUGCUAGAGUAUGCCAAUUUAGCCAGCUCUCACGUUAAUGAUUUUAUACUUUUUAUGUGGAAGUUAGGAUUGGAUAAAAGGAAUACUUAAAGGCACACACAUUUUUUCCCUUAGAGGUAAACAACUGGAUAUAUGCUUCUAAAAUGACUUAGAUGGCAUAACUAUCAAAGAGGCCGAGAUAAAAACAAUAGUACCUAAGAUGCAUCUUUGCAUAGGUUAAGUCUAGAUGUUUAUAUCGUUACAUCUUGGACGGUACAAUGAGUUGCUCUAGAAAAUUAAGAUGCAAAAGUAUGACGAUUAUCUUGAUAGCCUAAAAAAUAUUGAGUAUAUUGAGUUUAAAUGGAGCCGGCCAAUCCUAAUUCAUGGCAACUGGUCUUUGUUCGCACAGGUUAACGGUAAAAAAGAAAGUCGACAAUGCUAUCUAAUGAGCACGAGGAUCCUAAGGGCACAUAUUUAAUCUGCAUGCAUUAGAAUAUAUAUGCUCUGCGAACCAACCUGUGGUUGGAUGGUUAGGAGGAAAACAAUACUCCAGCUCACAAGGGUACAAGUUCUAGACUUGGCACUUGUAUUCGCAUUUUCUUAGGUUUAUUUCAUGCCUUUCGGCAAUGUGUAUUUAGUGGCAGGAGAAGUUCUCGUUGUCUAUGAAGGUUUAUGUGACGAUUUCGUCAAUCUUUAGAUGAUGUGCCGACUCAGUCUCUCAAAGACGCUCAUAAGGAGCAUCUUGCGAAUUAUCUUGAUGCCGCUUUAAUCUCCUUAAUAAUGCUUGCAUACUACCCACCCGUGCCUUCCUUGGUGUCAUUGACCACAACCUUGCACUCUGAUGCUAUGAUCACAUGUGGUAGACAAAGAUCAAGAGCAAGAGAAAGGGCGUCAUGGAACGUCAACGCUUCCAAGGUUGCCGGAUCUAAGACCCCCAAGAAUUUCAAUGCCGAGAAUCCUAAAUACGUGUCUACAUCAUCAUUGCAAGAAUAUAGUAUUAGCCUUCACACCCGUAUGGGAUGGGUUGGAGACCAUGCCACGCUUCAGCCACUCCCUCUGGCUCAAGGAGCGGGCGGGGCAGGGCAGCAUUGAAGCAAGCUAAUAAACCUUCAUAUUUUGUUCACCUGUUAAAUAGCCCUAUCUUACUUUCUUAACUACAUAAAUUUAUAUAUGACAUUGGUUGACGUAUUAACAAGUCCUCUUGUGAAUUGAUAAGCAGAGACUGGUGCACGGAUCUAAAUUAUUUGGGAAACGAAGAAACUGUACUCUCGAAUGGGAGAAAGGCCCGAAUAAAUUGGAGACAUAAGGGGAGAUGGUGAACAUAAAAAUAGUAUGCAUGUUUUCUCCCGUUGCAACGCACAGGCAUUUGUGCUAGUAUCUCUCCCUAAUAAUAAAGCACGGGUUGACUCCGUGGGUUCACCAUCACAAUGCGCUUUUUUCCGUGAUUUUAUGCUUUCAUUUUGAAUUUUAUAACAUAUUCGAGGUGGUACUAAAUUUUGUCUCUGCAACUCGAUUGACCGGUAUGUUCUCGUUUAGCUGGGCUGCGAUCCAGUUGGGCCUUGGCCCGUCUCUCCAUUCUAACCGCUACGUCUCUAUGUUUCGUUAAAAAAAGUACGUUUUAUCCAACCGCUCAGCAGACAAGUGAAGGGCGGAGCUGUGGCAGAAGAGGCGGCGCGACGGAGCAGAAGGGGCGGCGCGACGGAGCAGGAGAAGAUGGCCGAGAAGAUGUUCAGGUGCGGCGCGGCAGGCGGAGAAGAGUUUUGGUGAUGAGCUUGUGGCCGCGCUGGACCAGCUGCUGCAGCCCCCCUGCGCCAUCGCCGUGGGUCGCCUGCUUUCUGCUGCUCCGGUGCCGGCACCUGUCCCUGUGCGGUGUCGUGCUCAGGAAUUUCGCGAAGAAGGCGGUUGCCGUUCUUGCGCGCGAGAAGGGCGCCGGACCUCGUUGGCGCUGCGAAGGGGGCACAACUCAGUUUGGGUACGCCGUCGGCCAGCGCCGGCGGCGAGCAUGCUCCACUUUGACCUGUCCGCCACAGCCAGUCCUCUCCCGCCUCCCCCGACGUAACCUUCUCAACCUCUGCAUCUGCUCCCGUGUAUGAUUUGGAUGGAAUUGCAGUCUCCUUGUCCAACACAAAUCGAUUUGGAUGGAUUGCAGUCCGUGUCCUUGUCCAACGCAAAUCAAUGGAGCUGCCGACUCGGAUUGUUGUUGGCUUCUAUAAGAAGGGAGGGUCCUCGGCUCGAAUCUCCAUCAGGUCAAUUUUGGACGAAGCAUCCAAUGUCGACACCGAGUUCGCUGCAGGAAGAAGCGCCGAGUUCGCCGGAGGUAGAAGAAGCGUCGAGUUCGCCAAAGGUAGAAGAACAGUCGUCGAGCUAUCCAAUGUCGCCUGCGUCGGCUACAGCAGAGGUAUGUAUCCCCUUGACCCCUGUUUUGAGUUAUUUUUCUGUCCCUUGUUUCUCUGUGUACCUUCUAAUAUGGAGUUCAGAGGUAAAGAUAUUGUUGCGAAGUACGUCAGUUUAGAUAUUGUUGCCUUAUUGUGAUUGUAGACACCCAUGUUGUGUGGUUGGUCUGUUGAACGAAGCGCUGGAACUGUCAGCAAUUCCUUCAGAUAGUGUUGUUCUCUGAACAGAGAAAACAAAAUUGGAACAGCUGUUGCGGUGGUUCUCAUCUGGCCUUAGUUCCAGGUAGCAAUAACAAGCUUUGCUUCCUAAUUACCUCUGCUCCUAGCUAGCUAAAAUUGCAACUGAUACAUGUAUAGGUAUACUAGCAUAUGUUGUGUCAGGUUAAAAGUCCCGAGAGAUUUUGAACUACCGGUGGAGUGGAGAUGAUGAUUUGUAGUUCCACAUUCUGUGCUAAUACUUCGAUGGAUUGUCUGGUGAUAAGCCAAGUGUGUCUCAAAAUCUUUUUCCCUCUGUACAAUUCUCUGUCUGCGCUCCUCCUUACGGAUCUGAGGUGAAAACAAAGCUGCAGGUAGAGAAAGCAAAGCAUAAUGAUAGGUAGCUUCAUGGUGUUUGUCUUAUAUUCAAACUGCAUUUAGCUUCUAAGAAUAUGAUAUAAUACAUCAGAAAAUAGUACAACAUGCAGGCAUCUCAAAAUUCCACUCCAGAUGAAACACUUAUUCCACUGAAAAAACACUCGCUCCAAAUAACUUUACCAUGGAAUUGUUUGAUCUAUCCUUUGAUGCGUCGGUUCUGAUUCUGUUGCAAUUGAAUUUAUGUUGAGAUCGCGGAAGAAUAUUGUUCUACUUACGGAAGAAUAUUGUUCUACUUACGGUGAUUAGAAGUUGGGUCCCAGGAUAUGAGCACGAAAGGAAAGAAACCAAAAGAAGAAAUAAAUUUUGAUUGCGCUAUUAUGAGCAGGAAGUUUGAAACAUAAAUUCCGUUCGAGCGCACAAGGCAAGGAAUUAAAGGGAAAAAAGUCAAGGGUAAAUGUCAACAUAUGUGUAGAUAGAUUCAAUUCUACAUGCAGGACCAUGUGAGGCUAUCCCCUGCACAAGGAGCGGCACUUUGCAUUUCAUAGGAUUCAGAUUUCAAUAGACUAUAUAGGAGCAGAUGGGGGCUUGGCGGAAAAUGGGUGCAUAUCAUGAUAAACAUUAAAUUAAAUAAACAAUAUUGUUGAACCUAUGCUCGAGUAAUAUCAGAUGUGCCUUGCUAAUUCGGCGGAAGUAAAGAAUUUGUGCGUUGGUCACUUGAGCAACAAUACGCAUGAGACAUAGGCCAUUUUUUAGGCCACUUGCAAAUCUGGCAUUAACUAAUUCCAGUGUAGAUUAUCAAUGAUUGCUCAGAACAGAAGAUAUGUUUUUUCAUAAAUUUAAGCGUAUGUGUGUGUGUGUUCAUUUUCGAAAUUAAGGCUUACCAAUAUGACAUAUAGAUGUAAGAAAAUGAUUGAUUACUUUUUCUCCUUCUGUAUAGAUGAUACCAAGCAAUUGACUGAAUUUAUAUCGGAAGGCGACUAAUGUAACCAUCUCAAUCUUUUUGGAUUAAUGAGGGUGCAGAAAUUGAUGCAGUUCAAUUUAAAGUAGGCUGAUAUAUUGUAGUUUUAUCCACAGUUAUAAGAGUUUUGUUACCUUCGUGUUUUUGAUCGAAGAUUAAGAUGUCGGUGUUAUAUGCAUUUUCUAUUUAGCUAAAGAUGUUUUAGUAAAAUUUGUACGAAAUUCAUACUUGUCAUCAAGUUUGCCAAUAGAAUAAUGUCUAUGUCUUUAUUACCACGUUGCAACGCACGGGCAUUUGUGCUAGUCUAUCCCUAAUCUAUCCCUAAUAAUAAAGCACAGAUUGACUCCGUGGGUUCACCGUCACAAUACGCUUCUUCCCGUAAAUUUCCGCUUUCAGUUUUUUCGUUCAUAUUAUCCGAGGUGGUACUAUUCAUGUGCUUUUUAGUAAGUGAACCCCGCUAUUAAUUUGCUUUUUAGUAAUUGGGCUGAAUUCUGUCCGACUGUCCUGCGUGGGCCAACCUGGGCCUUAUUGAGGAGCAGCCAAAAAUUAGGCGCAUUCUGCGGCAGACUGGAGGGGCUUCGCACAUGGGGUGCUUCGUUUGGGCCGGCCCACGAAGGAGCAGCUACACGCGUGCGCUAGCCAUUGCACCACUAAACGCAAAAAACAGAGGGCGGCUGGAGAAUCGAACUCCAAACCUCCCAUUUAGUACCCACACGCACUAGCCAUUGCACCAUUAAAUGUUAUUUGCAAAUGUUGAGCAGCAAACACUAUAAGAACAUAAUCCACGACAGAUCUAAAUGUUUUUAGAAGUUCGAAUGCAGUUCAUUCUUUUCUUUGCAGAAAAAACGCAGUUUAUUUUCAAAACGUGUAUCUUUUUUUGAACGCGGACUAUUCCAAAAAUAGCGAAUAAUUAUUUUAAAAUGUUGAACAUUUUUUGACCUGUGAACAAAUUUUUGAAAAACAGCAAAUCCUUUUUGUAAUGUUGAACAAAUUUUGAAAAACAAGAACAUUUCAUAAAAUUUAGACGAAAAAAGGAAAAGGCGAACAUUUUUUGAAACUUGGAACAAAAUUAGAAGAAAGCGAACAUAUUUUUGGAUCAGGGAACAAUUUUUGAGAAAGGGAACAUUUUUUGUAACUCUGAACAAAAUUUGGCAAUCGAACAUUAUUUUGAAUUGUGAACAUUUUUUCAAAAAGCAAACAAGAUUUGAAACUCAAACAUUUUUUGAAUUCAUUUAAAUAUGAUUUCAAAUGUGAUUUUUUUUGAAAAUCUGAACAUAUUUUGAAAAUGUGAGCAAGUUUUGGAACUCGAACAUUUUUUGAAUUAAUGGAAACAACGUUUGAAAAUGUGAACAAAAUUUCAAAAAUGCGAAAAAGUUUUGAAACUCGAACAUUUUUUAAAUUAAUAGAAACAAAAUUUCAAAACGUGAACAAAAAUUUGAAAAUCUGAACAUUUUUUAAAAUGCGAACAAAAUUUGAGACUCGAACAUUUUUUGUAUUAAUAGAACAAGUUUCCUAUAUGUGAACAAAUUUUUGAAAAUCUGAACAUUUUUUAUUUUUAAUCAUUUAGUGAAUAACAUGAUCAAAAUUCAAUUUUUCCGAACAUUAUUUGAAAUUUUGUACUAAAUUUGAAAUUCCAAACAAAUUAUGAAAUUCUGAAUUUAUUUAAAAUUGAAAACUGAAAAGGAAACAAAGAAGAACAGAAAAAGGAAAAAAUGAAACAGAAAAAAAAUGAAAAACGAAACGAAACGAAAACAAAAAAGAAAUGAAAGAACCGGUUUAGGAACCUUCUAGAAGAUUCCUCAAACCGGAAAAGACCGGCUGGAACCUCCUACUAGAAGCUUCCCGAAACAGGGAACGAAGAACACAUGAACGGGCCGGGCCAUCGCAACGCUAGAUCGCGACCUCCUGUGCGAAAGGUCGACAUCUUGACGCAGAAUGCGUCAUAUAGGAUUUUCCGGGAGCGAAGUCCGCAACCAAUAGAGCCAGCAUGCCUGUCUGUUGAAAAACAAGACUCUUUACCUAAUAGCAUGUAAUUAAGAGAAUAAUUAAUGCAGGGAGGAAUGCGUUUUGUGCAUGGCUGGGGAAAUUAAGAGGAAUUGAUCCCUAAGUAGUAAAAGGGAUUGGUUUGGUGAAAGUCGGCCGUUUGGAUUUGUGUCUCUGAUGUGUUACCAUAAAAGCAUCACCACAGGGAUCGCAGCUGCCAGGACAUGCAUGUACAUGACCAGUAGCGACCGGUGACCGACGUCCCCGUAGCGAGGUUCGCCGCGUAUGGGCGGGAUGAGGAUUAGAUUGGUAUUCUUGAUUUUGUUUAUGGCAGUGAAAUAGGGAUGUCCAAAGAGAGAAGAAGAGAGAUGCUCGUGCUUUGCAUGGCUCUAUGUAAUUAGAGAUUUACUGACGAAAGAAGAAAGCGUGGGGCCCCACAUUGGGACGACCGUAGGAGAGCCAAAAUAGCAUUUGGCGCAUUAUAAAAGAACGGAAAUAUAAGAAUGGCUUUUUUGCAACCAAAUUUACAUUUUUUUUUCAAAAAAUUAUCUGAUUGAUCGAACCUCAUUGCUGCAACCAGAAUAGUACAUGACACUGCAAGUGUGGUCGAUGCUGCUGCAAGCGGGACGCGGCGCACCUAGGCCGAACGACCUAUAUAUGCAUCUAGCGGAAGCACGCCAAUGCAACACCAGUUGCCGGCUUGCCGCUAUUAUUUUUCAUUAGAAAAGUUGGACUGCCAUGUUGCAAAGCCGACUAUGGAUACCCUACAAGGAUGGUUGGUGGUAUUUUAAGUCGGAAGGACGAGCCGACUAUACAUACCCUACAAGGACGGCUGGUGGUAUUUUAAGUCAGAAGGACGAUGUCGCAAAGCCGACCACAUGAACACGGUAAGAACGACCAACAUUGAUGUAAAGUCAGACGUAUAUCAUUGCGAGGUCAAUCUAUGUUAUAGCAAAUUGUAUGUCGUUCAAUGCUAUCAUAUCAUGCAUGUGGAUAUUUUGAUGAACACGUCAAUUUUCUCUCCCUUUGCAACGCACGGGCCUUUUUGCUAGUCUAUCCUUAAUAAUAAAGCACGGGUUGACUCCGUGGGUUCACCGUCACAAUACGCUUUCUUCAUAUGAAUUUACGCUUUUAGUUUAAAUUUAAAGCAUAUAUAUGUGAGGUGGUACUAAAGCGUUGAUAGAUUUCGCUCGGAUCGUUCGGCACCAAGAAAACGAACGAAACAACACAUCGAGAAAAGGCCAAGCGAAGAAACAGCCCAUAUCAACCGGGGAGCCUCUCCACCGUCAUGUUCCACAUGGGCACGCAGUUGAACUGGUACUUGACGCUGGUGGACGCUGAGAAGCCGAAGUAGGCCCGCUUGCUGAGGAGCACUGCCGAGAGGUCCAACGGCGCGUCGAGCAAGGCCACGCCGUGCCUGCUCCGGUUCUUGGCGACGUACGCCCGCGCGCGCCGCGACGCAUCGUCGUAGUUGACCCAGACCAUGUAGAAGUCGUCGUUGACCGUGGUGUCGAUGGGGGCGAGCUGGAUGCCGAAGGGCGUGAGCGAGGCGGCGUGGGUGGAGCGGACGCCGUUCACGUGUGGCCGACGUGGUUGUCGUCGAGGUCAUAGGGCUGCUUCAUCGUGUCCAGCUCCACGGCCGCGAACCCGUUGGCGGGGUUGUCGUCCAUGGACGCGUUGGUGAGGCCCAGGUACCCGUCGUGGCUGCCGGGGGCAGGCCGCCGCCACUGGGCGCGACGACGAGCGUGAGGCCUUCGCCCUUGCUUGUCGCGUUGGUGCGGUAGAGGUUGAUCCGGAACACGGUGGAGAAGGAGGCGACGUACCAGCCGCCGGCGGGUUCAGAGGCCCACAAGACGAACGGGAAGGAGAGGAAGACGUUGUCGGUCUGGUUGACGAGAAAGUUGUCGGGCCCGCUGGCGCUGUUGCUGUCCGAGGUGAUCUGGAGCGUGUUCUGGGUGACGCUGGAGUUGCUGGCGAAGGUCAGGUUGGCGGGAAGCAGCACCAGCACCAUGACCACCAGGGGUCGCCGUUGCAAACGCUGCCAGGAGCCCAGGACAUCUUGCUAGACGCCAGGGAGGAGGACUCCGGAAAGGCUCCCCGGGCUUCCUCUCGCUGGAGGCAAAGCCAGGCAGCUGCCGGCCUUCUGUUUCACUCUCUGCUGCAUCUUGUUCUGGCUGGCGAUGGUCGUCAUCGGUGUGACCGUGCUCACCGUGUACCUCAUCUACCGCUCGCAGCCGCCGAAGCUCCGGUGACGGAUGCGUCCCUGAGUGUCGGGUACGUGGACGAGCUGACCGUCCCCGGCGGCCCGGCCCACGGCCUCACGCUCAACGCCGACCCUCACCGCCCUGGUCGCCAUCACACAGCCAGUAUCGAUCAACGAUUUAUUGGUUUAUCCUAGUUGCGAAAGUUUGAUCAGCCCUUCGACUAUCGUGCAUCCAUAGAAUAGUUCCACCUCGCUUCAUUAGAUCAAAUCAGUCCAGUUUAUAUACAUGUUGCUUAGCAAACCAACAAGCAAGCUUGAAAAUCAAACAAGUAGAGGGCAAAAGAAGGGAUUGGUGUGUCCAGAUGGCGAGCUCCGGCGGAGGCCGGGUGAUGCAGCGAGGCGGGAUGGAUUUUUGCAGCCUCUAGCUAGCUGAGCUAACAUGCUACUGCUGACUCGUGGGAUUUUUGCUCCUAAUUAAACCUCGACGCACGCAUGGCCUAUGGCUGAUCCGAACAUCACAUACAUGUAUGUCAUGGCUGAUCUGAAACAGAAAAAACCUGGUCGUCAUUCCAAUAAUCAAUCAUGGAGCACGCAUCAAAUUAGCCUCAUCAAAUCUCACACGUCGGUAGCUCACCUGAAACGGUGUCCAGAAAAAAAGGUUUACCAGAGACGAACCCUGAAUUGCAUUGGAAUAAUUUCUUAAAUAUUGGUUUGUUCUUAUCAUUUUGUUCCAAACAGUGAUUUCACUUUUUUGACUCAUCGUUUUGUGUUGUUCGACUGUCUUGGAUCGGCUUGCUUCUAAUCGAUACCUUAAUAAACACAUCAGCUACAACGCUUUCAGAUACAGUAUGUGAGACCAACUGAUUUUACUUUUUCCAUUUGUUGGAGAUGUACUUUAAGGCUAGAGGGAUAUCAAGCUCGGAGACAACGACUCUGAUGCUUGAAGUGUAUGGAGGCUGCCUUUAUAGGACGAAAACUACAGUGGAUGCUUUUAUUAAAUUAGGCCAUGUUGGCAUCGUAGCCCUUUUAGUUUCAUUUGCAUUUUAAAAGUCCUCAUCUCAUUUUAGUAUACAAUUUCAAAGUUUUUUUAUCUCUACUGUGAGUCUUGAAAACGUGUUCAUUUAGUAGGAGGAUGAGUCCAUGCGGGGAUAAUAGUUUUUCACCCGUUGCAACGCACGGGCAUAUUUUAAUUGUACAAUUUUGAACAAAAGAUUGUAACUUCCACAAUUUUCUUCUUCGGUUCCUGAUUUUAGCUCAUUGUUCAUGUUUUUCCUUUUUAGUGAAACUCUGGUAGACACGACGACAAUUACAUUAUGUUUACACAAUCACAAGAACAAUCAUUAGAGAGGAAAGUAACCAUUUUUGCGGGAUGAGUAACCAUAUUUGUGACUUUUUAAGAUACGGAGUGCACUAGAUUUUUUUUAAUAUUACCUUCGUUUAUCCAUAUCCAUAUAGAAUUUGUCAAAAUUGGACAGAAGAACGGGCCAUGACCAUUGAUUUAACUUCAUUUUUUUAGUUUCCUAUUAUUUUUCUAGCUAAGUGAAAUAUCUCUGAAGCUAUGAAACUUACCUAGGCCCAUGACUUGACUCUUUGUUGCAAUUUCUAAAUGAAGUACAAGCAGCCAAUCUUUUUGAAUGAAUUUGUUGAUGGUUUGAAUGGUUAUUCUUCACUAUGGAUGCAUGGCUAUUCUUGGGUUUGAGCCUUAGGCAUGCAUCAAUGAGAAAUAAUUGCAUUGUUUGUUAACAAUUUAAACUGAAAUCAUUCAUCAAUUUUGAUUGGAAAUCUUAUCCCAAUACUUUUGAUACUGUACUUCAAUUUUGAUAACAAAAAUUGUUUCAAAUUGCCAUGUGGAAAAUCAAGUAAGAGCAUAUCCAUGUUUACUUAUUAGUUUGUUUUCUGAGAAUGGUACGGGAUUUACAAAUUGAAAAAACAUUAAUCGUUUGAAAAUUAUUUUAAACCAAAAUCGUUUGAAAUUUUUGUUAUGAUAUGUUGUUUGACUGAUUGCAAUGUUGUUUUAGUGGUAAUUUUUUUUCAACUUCUAAGCAUAUAUUUAUUUUUUAUACACCCGGUGUAACGCACGGGCCCUUUUGCUAGUCUUUUCCUAAUAAUAAAGAACGAUUUGACUCCGUGGGUUCACUGUCAUAAUACGCUUCUUCCUGUGAAUUUACGCUUUCAAUUUGAAUUUAAAACAUAUACGCGAGGUGGUACUAAAAAACCGUUAUACCAGUUUAUAUACGUGAAGUCAGUCUCAAUCAAAAUUUACAUCCGUGUCGAUCAAACAAUCUGCUGGGCCCUCAAAUCUCUCCACAGCUGGCCUCUCUUAUGGGCCAUGGAUGGGCCUUUUAUUUAGGCCGCGAGCCACGCUGGAAAAAAAUGUUAAAGUUGGAGAUUGAACUCGUGACUUCAAGCCCUUAUCAAAUAGGUAGCGACUACGACCAACUCAGCUAUUGUUAUUUGAUGUUCAAUAAUAUCACCUCGCUCAUUUAGAUAUACUUAUACCAGUUUGUAUAGGACAUGGAUGCUUCACGUAAUAUCAAAAAUAAGCCUUAUAGACAACGGUGUGAAUUGUCGGUAUGAAGGAAGGAUGUAUCUCCAUAUUUAACAAAAUUGCGGGCUGUCUUUGGGGUAUUAAAAAAGGAAGGAUGAGGCUAUUAAAAGGAAAGAUUAUGGGCUUCCUUGUGAUGAGGGGGUAUAAAGGAAGGAAGGAAGGAUCUUCAUGGUCAAACAGAAUUGUGGCUGUCUUUGCGCUAUAAUGAAGGAUUGGGCGAACUAAAAAGGAAGAAUAAAUUCCUGGAACGGAAUUGUGGGAUGUCUAAUUCCUAUUAAAAAAAAGGAAAGGAUGAGGCGAACUAAAAGGAAGGAUGGACCUUUGGGCUGCAAGUAUAUUCACAUGCGCGAUGAUGGACGUGCACGCAUAUACCCGAUAUUUGACUGUGCUUUUUUCAUGCCUUCAACAAUUAGACCUCUUUUAGCCGAACACAUACGAGCACAACAACAAUAAAAAUCCAUUCAGAUAAACACGACCUUGACUCGCGCUUCGUGAAUGAUUAAUUUUGCCUUUUAUUCCAUGUCAAUUGUCUCAAGCCUACGUCGCAUUCAAUUUAUAAAUUUUUAAUUACUCACACCAAUAUACUCAUCUAGAUGUCGUCAACCUCCGGACUAUGUCCCAGGUCCGACCGUUAUUCUUAUUCCCGUGCACCGGGAUCUAUGUCAUCCACGGACGUGAACUAGAGGUUGCAAAUUCUAUCAUCACCUCGACGUAGUCAUUGAAAUGUCGCUCCUAUGUAAUAUUUCGUGUCACUUUGUUAGACUGGCUCGUAAGAGUUUAGAUCAAUGAGCCUCAAGUCAUUACAGUUUCAAAGCUCUCUCACACCAUGAACAGAACAUCAAUAAUUGACAUUACUCCACUACUCCUUCAACCCCUUUCCUUCCAGAACUAGGAAAUCCAUGAACGCAUUAAUUGUUUUUGCAAAGAGAGUAUGGUUGAAAACACAAAUCUAAACACCAGCUUGACUCGCGCUUCGUGAAUGAUUAAUUUUGCCAUUCAUUCCAUGUCAAUUGUCUCAAGCCUACCUCGCAUUCAAUUUAUGAAUUUUUAAUUACACACACCAAUAUACUCAUCUAGAUGUCGUCAACCUCCUAGACUAUGUCCUAGGUCCGACCGUUAUUCUUGUUGCCGUGCACCGCGAUCCAUGCCAUCCACGGACGUGAACUAGAGGUUGCAAAUUCUAUCAUCACCUCGACGUAGUCAUUGAAAUGUCGCUCCUAUGUAAUAUUUUGUGUCACUUUUGUUAGACUGGUUCGUAAGAGUUUAGAUCAGUGAACCUCAAGUUAUUACAGUUUCAAAGCUCUCUCACACCAUGAACAGAACAUCAAUAGUUGACAUUACUCCACUACUCCUUCAACCCCUUUCCUUCCAGAACUAGGAAAUCCAUGAACGCAUUAAUUGUUUUUGCAAAGACAGUAUGGUUGAAAACACAAAUCUUUUUGAUUUUGGAAAUAAUUCACGUCGAUCAAAAAUUAAAUAAUUAUUAUUAUAUUAGUUUAUGUUAAGAAAAUUAUUUUCUCCCGUUGCAACGCACGGACAUUUUUGCUAGUCUAUCCCGGCCCUAAUAUAUAUAUAUAUAUUAUAAUAUAUAUAUAUAUAUUAUAUAUAUUAUAUAUAUAUAUCUAUUCCUAAUAUUAUAAUAUAUAUAUAUAUAUUAUAUAUAUAUAUAUAUCUAUUUCUAAUAAUAAAGCACGGAUUAACUCGGUGGGUUCACCGUCAAUAUGCUUUCUUCUUAUGUCAUAAUACGCUUUUACAAUUUAUAUGGACAAACUAUUUAUGGGCCCCAGGAAACCCAUCCUGGCCGGAGCCUGCCCGAGCCAAGCCCGUAUGCCCCGCUGCCCGCUUCCCCUAGCUCCCCUCGAGUUCCCUCCUGCACCUUGCCUCGCCGCCGGCGACUGGACCCUUGCCGGACCAUGCAUCUCUCCCCCCUUCCUUCUUCUCUCUUCCUCAAAUCUCCCUCUCUUCAGGACGCCAGGAGCUCCACAGCCGCCGCCACAAGUCGUCCGUGCUCGAAUCCGGCGAGAUCCGGCCGCGAGCAACCCAUCCCCAAUGCUCCCGCGCUAGAUCUGCACUGCCCUCGCCAUCCCAGACGGAGUUUGCCUCCAGCGCCGCCGUAAACCACCUCCUACCUCUGCCCUCGUUCACGGCUCCCCUCCACCAACUGGUCGGGACCUCGCGGGAGGCAGAGGAUGGGGUGCAGCGCUUGCGUUCGGCUCCGGAGCUCGAGCGGGCCGAUCUGCGCAGAGGCAGAGUAUGGGAUGGUGUGCUGUGCUCGAGACGAGGGGGCUCGAGUAAGGGGAUUGGAGGGUGGCGCCGGCGGGAUCGCGGACGGGGAUGGGGAGGGCAGGUGCCAGCAAGAUCGAGUCCGGGGAUGGAGAGGGAGGGGGUCGGCGAGCGGGAGGUUGAGGAUGGGAAGAGGCAGCGCUGCCGGCGGCCACGAGUACUAUUUUACAGGCGCAUGCAGGCAAACAGUAAGUUGUUCUUGCAGUACGCUGACGCAUUUGAUUUGCCGAUUGCCAUCUAGGAAGGGCUGGUUCUAUUGCUAGAUGUCGGCCCGUCGAUGCACCGGGAGCUGCAAGAAGUCGAGAAUGUCUGCACCACCCUUGUGCGCAAGAAGGCAAGCAACAUGAUGUUUCAAUCUGAAGCCAAAUGCAAGCGUCCAUUAAUCCGCCGUUGGGGCUAGCUGACUGCCUUUUCGUUUUGAUACUCUGCAGCUGGUUUUUCAUAGGAGCAACUAGGUUGACCUCCACACUGCUCCAUUUGGCCAUCAUCUCGCCGUUCUGCUGACCGGGAGUCUACGUUCGAAUUACUCACACAUACUUGCUCCAAGUAACAGUAAUUACCUCUUUAGUUGAUCUCGGUUGGUUUAUUUAGGAUUUUUGUCUUGAUCAUCUUCCUCCGAUAUAACAGUCUUAUAUGAAGAAACAUUAAUUAAGAUUUCCUCCUGGUUGUGGUGUUAAAAAGCAUAGAUAUCUAGCAAUCUUUUUUGCAUUGUGGUGUGCUACAGAUCGAUUAGGUUAACUUACAACCGGUAGUAGAGCAAAUUGUCAUUGUUCUUUGUGCGCAAAAUUACCAUCUACCAAUCUUCUUUGCAUUGUUGUGUGUUACAUACUGAAGCAUUCUUAGUUGGAUCAGCACGUACAACUUGAUGGUCUCCACAUCCGACAAGGCGUGUCGCUGUUGAGUAGCUAGGGCAGUUCUUCAGUACUAUUUGUUUUGUCAAAAGUUCAGAAUUGUUAAUUUGUUUGCUGGGUGGAUAUCUACCUACUUUCUUCAUAUGAUUAACUCCUGCUUUCUGUUGAGCUUGAGGUUGACAAUACUUAUUAUAGUUUACAUGCUGACUGCAAAACAUUGUUUGUUUUGUGUUAUUAUUUAGAAUUUCAGAUGUACUGAGAUGACAAUAUCUAAUUUACUGACUUGUACGCUGUAACCUGAACCGGGUUUUGAAACCAUCAAAGCAGUAGAUUUAGUAAAGGGGAAUAGCCACCAAACGUGCUUGACUCUCUUAAAUUCUUAGGCACAAAAUAACCAUACAACCAUGGUAGGACCUUCCGAAUUUGUAAAAUAGCUAAAAAAAUCAAGUGGUACUUGAAGCCAGGAGAAUACCAGCCUGUAAACAUGAAUCACUUGUGGGUAUUUUCUAUUGAAGGGUACGAGGGUCUAUUACUUGUGGGGAUUUGUAGUGCAUAUGUGGUGUAGUGCAAGAAUAGGCCACUGGGAACUAGAAGAAUAUGUUGUUUUCUCUUUGUCCAGCUUAUUUCCAAUGGCAUGUCAGCAAAACUGAAUGUUAUUUUCUUUAUCUAAGAUCCCUUUCAGGCCAGCUGUCAACACCUACAAUCUCCACAUCAUCUACGGUCAGGGCAGUGUUUUGGGUCAUCCAUUGUCAUCACCUACUAUCUCCACAUCAUCUAUGGUUUCUGAAUGUUCUGAAUCGAUUGGUUCAGAAUCAGAUAAUCAAAUAAAUGAAGCGCAAUUUUCAUCACCUACAUCACCAACCAAGUCAACGUUAUCUCCGGUUUCUGAAUUGGUAAUAAGAAAUCAACCUAAACUUUUUUAUACUAAUUCUGGUAUCAGACUAAGCGGAGUGAUAUUAUACCUUCAUAAACAUGUUGGUAUCUGUCAUCAAACAGACAUUAGUACAUUUUUUUAGUCAACCAAGCACAACUUACAUGAUACCAGACUCAAAUUCCCAACUUAAAUUUUGCCAAUGGCAAUGUGUGAGUUUUCUAUUUUCCGAAGAACCAAGCAGGAGCUCUGCCGAAAUACUAUUAAGACAAGGGAAUGGAGUACAUAAUGUGUAGAAUUAUGGUUAUAACAUGGACGUGCUAAGCAAUCCAAAUCUUAUUACAUUUUUUUUAAGUUUGUAAUAUAGCAACUCCUAUAAGUAUUAGUAUAGAUGGAAUUCCUGCUGACUUACAUUUCUAUGAAUUUUUACAUAAUGGCAAUAAUGCCUAAAACCUUACACCAAGGUUGUAUAUCAAAGUCUUUUGCACUACCCGAGAGGUUAAGCAUCCCAGAUCAUAAUCCAAUGAUGACUGAAAUUGCCACAUGCUUGGGCAGAAGCUCAAGGUUGGCAAUGCCACCGCCAUGCAUCAUCUGAGAUGUUGUCCAGCUAGCUCUGCCAUCCAUACCCCCUCAAUGAUCAUGGCAGAGCAGGUUAUGCGUUUUAUCACUUAUCAGCAUGAUUUUUGAUGUCUCGUUCUUUGUAAUAUUGGUCCUCUAUUUGACAUAAUGCCUAGCCAUGGUGCCAUGUGCAAGUCACUAUUGAGGGUCAUCAACAGAAUUGCAGAUCAAUGUGUAACACUAUGUUGCGCCAGGUCUAGGAGACCGAGGGCAUCCAGGUCAACCUCUUCGAGGCCUGAAACACUAUGUUUGUUAGAUCUUUUUUCCGUGAAACUACCCCUUUACAUAUUGUUUUGAUGCAUAUGAGCAAAGGUCCAGGUUCUUUUUAUUUCAUUUAAUUGGCACCGUUAACGGAAUAGCUCUGCACAACCUUGGUUGUGUAUCUGAAUCUACUAAGUAGUAUGUGUGACAUCUCUUUGUUAUUGACAUACUCCGUCCGUCUAGAAUUACUUGGAAGUUCUUUUCUUUUUUUCACUUGGUCACCAUCAUUGGAUUGACACUUUAUAAUCAAUGCUUUUAUGUUGAGAAUAUGUUUGAGGCUAAGAGCAAUCCUAAUUAAACAUGUUCAGUUUAUCGUGGCCUUUGCAAUUGUAGUAUUCACUGCCCAACAGUUUCAAAUAAAAAGGGAAGAUGAGACAAGGCAGAAGGAGAUGGAUUGGGAGCUGCACACACAAACUUUCAAACUAAUUUUAUACCCGUUGCAACGGACGGGCCCUUUUGCUAGUGUGUGUGUGUGUGUGUGUGUGUGUGUGUGUGUGUGUGUGUGUGUGUGUGUGUGUGUGUGUAUGUAUAUAUACACACGUGCGUUGGAACGGGUAUAAAGUAAACUAAGAAAUAUGCCUGUGCGUUGCAACGGGAGAAAAACAAUCACAUACAUCCAUCCCAAUAAGCAAGGCUCAAGACCCAUAGUCAGUCUACAUCCUCUAUUUUAUCAUAACGUCUUGCAUGGCAAAAUUGAUACAUCGUGACUUGAGGAUACUAACUAAUUGAAGAAUGGGUUGGCGGGAGUGGGAGGAUUCAUACAAAGUUCACCUUAAAAUACCUACUUUCUUAUUUCCUGGCAUGCAAAGUUUUUAUCUAGACAUUAGAUUAAACUUGGCAAAUACUAUAGACAAUUGUACACCUUGUGAACAUAAGAAAAAGGAAGACUCGCAAAGAAGAAAUCGGCCAUCAGGAAACUGAAACCUCUAUAGUUGAAGGUUGCAUCUGAAACGAAACUGCAAUAUGUAUCAGUAUCACACAUUUAGGAAUCACCAACAAGGAAAAAAUAAGUCAAAAUCAUGAGACUACUCCGCAAGAGAUGAAUGUAUAAUUAUGCCAAUGUUCAGAACAAUUCUAGAAAAACCAUAGACAGUUUAUUUAAACCGUAAAGAUCAUCUUUAUGAAUUUAGUAUUAUUGCAAAUGUUCAAACCAAAUUGAGGCUUAACUAAUAAAAGUAGAUUAGAUGGGUUAAAAAAUACCAAACAUUAUCUGGAAUUAUCAUCACUAUCACAAAGUGGAGGUUUGCCUCAGGAUCACUGACUCAUGUAGCAAGAGUUAUUUAAAGGAUUCCUCCAUACAGCAACAUACUAUUUCUUCACAAGCUCCCAACAUGGUCGGUUACGAGGUCCUCCAUCUUUACAAAUAAUUUUAUCUGUAAACAAUCAUUUCGAGAGAGACCGGCAAAAAAAUGCAGUAUUUCAUUAUGAGAGGCUACUUGACCUGAUAUAAGUAAUGUUAUAUAAAACUAUUAUUAACAAAGAAGAGAUUAUUCUGGCUAAAUCGAACAACUAUGGAUUCAUCAUGUGUGAAAAAUAAGUGAAUUAACACAUCGAGAAGAUUAUAUUACUCUAAAGGAACAAAGUAUGUAAGUAAGUAUAUGCCCCAAAACAUGCUACUCCACAGUAAUAGAGAUUCAACAAUGGUAGACAUUUUAGCUGUAGAAACUGGUGUAGUCCAUGAAACUUUAGCUGUUAUUUAUCUUUUGCAUGUUCAAGAAGUGAUGCUUGUAAAACCCAUAUGUUUUAAGUUCCGAUUUAUCAUCAACCAGCCAUGUAUGAGGUACAAACUACUCGUUCGCUUUCCUGUUUUACGCAAUUUAAACUUAACUUUCCUGUUUCUAAAAAGAUUUGCGUAAUUUAUAAUAUAAUCAAGGCAAACCUGAGAUAUCUUUAUCAUCAACCAGCCGUGUAUGAGGUACAUUGCUAAACCACACCUCUAGUUCACAUAACUACAUUACAGAGAUUCUCGUACAUGGAUGCUGCAUUUACAGAACAUAAGCCAAAUCAGUUAGUUCAAUUCAGAUUUCUGAAUUUACUGCUUAAAACAAUGGAUGUAUAUACCUACUUGAGUUGGCCCUUCCUCUCGGAGGGGAUUGCGAUUUGAUGCAUCUUAAUAAUAAAGGAAAGUCAGAGUGGUUAGAUAUACUAUGCAGAUAAUCAAAGAUCCAACCUGUAUUCAAGAAAACGCAUCCAGAUAUUUAAACAUUUAGAUCAGCAUCAAAGAAAACUGAAAAGUGUCUAGCAUUCUCGAAAGCAGAGAGAAGAAAACUGUCUAGUAAGAGGCCACACUGUUGUACUGAUUCCUUGAAUCCGGUGCUGCAGGAGGCUAUGUAGAUCAUCCCAUCCACUUCCUAUGGAAGUAGACAAUUUGCUCAUCUAAAAAAAUUAAGACCAAUGCACAUAGAUAGACAUAGCUGAAUUUUCCUGAUCAAACCUUAGGUCUGAAGCUAAUUUUGUUAUUCAGUAAUGAACUUAAUGGCUGGAGAACGGAGAGUCGCAUCUGUUCCUCCAGUCGGAAGCCCGAUUAAAUUGAAACUGUCGGCAAUGCACAUGCGACUCUCCGCUGCAUCAAGCAUCAACCAUCCUGACAUGUUUUCCUUAAUUGAUCAGAAAAGUGAUGCUUUGUUUGAUGUAUAACUGAUCAGAAAAGAGAUGCUUCGGUUAAUGUACAGCUAGAACUUGAUAUCAAAGGAUAUUAUAAUAUGGAGAAGAAAGGGAGUGGGGAGAGGCUGCAUUGGGUUGGUGGCCUUUUUCAGAUCAAUACGCGCCGUCGCCCGGCUCGGGAGCUCAUGGACUCGGCGGAGGUCCAUCCACACUGCGGCAGCGUGAGUGCGGGGCCUCAUCCGUUGCGCACACGCCACCGGCGCCACAGGUGGAGAGCAAGGGCGAGCCAACUGGGGCUCCGUUCAGGCUGUGACCCGGUGGCGGGGGCCUACGCAGCUUGCUGCAAGGGGAUGGGAAAGAUUAGUAUAGGAUCUUCCUUGUGCCUGCCGCAUCGCCAGCUAGGCGACACUGCUUCUACGGGUUCAGGAAUCAGAGCAACUCAUAUCCCCUGCAAACCUACAUCACCAUGGUCACGUGCACGAGCCGGCCAGGGUGGCGGGGUAGUGGGAACUGGGAAGGGAGCUCGCCACGGCCCACGGGUUCUCAGGAGGUAGCGGUGGAGGAUAAGCGUCUCGGCCAUCGUCGUAGCUGCCAUCUAGGGCAUCCGUGCGCAGCUCAUGGCGGCGGGUAUUGGCUGUUGGGGAACGUUGCAGAAAAUUAAAAUUUUUUCCUACGGUUUCACCAAGAUCCAUCUAUGAGUUCAUCUAAGCAACGAGUCAAGGGAGAGAGUUUGCAUCUACAUACCACUUGUAGAUCGCGUGCGGAAGCUUGCAAGGUGAUGAUGUAGUCGUACUCGACGUGAUUCGAAUCACCGAUGACCAAGCGCUGAACGGACAGCACCUCCGCGUUCAACACACGUACGGGACGGGAGACGUCUCCUCCUUCUUGAUCCAGCAAGGGGGAAGGAGAGGUUGAGGAAGACAGCUCCACCGGCAGCACGACGGCGUGGUGAUGGUGGAGAGGCAGUACUCCGACAGGGCUUCGCCAANNNNNNNNNNNNNNNNNNNNNNNNNNNNNNNNNNNNNNNNNNNNNNNNNNNNNNNNNNNNNNNNNNNNNNNNNNNNNNNNNNNNNNNNNNNNNNNNNNNNNNNNNNNNNNNNNNNNNNNNNNNNNNNNNNNNNNNNNNNNNNNNNNNNNNNNNNNNNNNNNNNNNNNNNNNNNNNNNNNNNNNNNNNNNNNNNNNNNNNNNNNNNNNNNNNNNNNNNNNNNNNNNNNNNNNNNNNNNNNNNNNNNNNNNNNNNNNNNNNNNNNNNNNNNNNNNNNNNNNNNNNNNNNNNNNNNNNNNNNNNNNNNNNNNNNNNNNNNNNNNNNNNNNNNNNNNNNNNNNNNNNNNNNNNNNNNNNNNNNNNNNNNNNNNNNNNNNNNNNNNNNNNNNNNNNNNNNNNNNNNNNNNNNNNNNNNNNNNNNNNNNNNNNNNNNNNNNNNNNNNNNNNNNNNNNNNNNNNNNNNNNNNNNNNNNNNNNNNNNNNNNNNNNNNNNNNNNNNNNNNNNNNNNNNNNNNNNNNNNNNNNNNNNNNNNNNNNNNNNNNNNNNNNNNNNNNNNNNNNNNNNNNNNNNNNNNNCAUCCGGGACUCCGAACAACAUUCGGUAGUCACAUACUAGUCUUCCUAAUAACCCUAGCGUCACCGAACCUUAAGUGUGUAGACCCUACGGGUUCGGGAGACAUGCAGACAUGACCGAGACGCUCUCAGGUCAAUAACCAACAGCGGGAUCUGGAUACCCAUGAUGGCUCCCACAUGCUCCUCGAUGUUGUCAUCGGAUGAACCACUAUGUCGAGGAUUCGAUCAAACCCUGUAUGCAAUUCCCUUUGUCAAUCGGUACGUUACUUGCCCGAGACUCGAUCGUCGGUAUCCCAAUACCUUGUUCAGUCUCGUUACCGGCAAGUCACUUUACUCGUACUGUAAUGCAUGAUCCCGUGUCCAACACCUUGGUCACAUUGAGCUCAUUAUGAUGAUGCAUUACCGAGUGGGCCCAGAGAUACCUCUCCGUCAUACGGAGUGACAAAUCCCAGUCUCGAUCCGUGUCAACCCAACAGAUACUUUCGGAGAUACCUGUAAUGCACCUUUAUAGUCACCCAGUUACGCUGUGACGUUUAAUACACCCAAGGCACUCUUACGGUAUCCGGGAGUUACACGAUCUCAUGGUCGAAGGAAGAGAUACUUGACACUGGCAAAGCUCUAGCAAAACGAACUACACGAUCUUUUAUGCUAUGCUUAGGAUUGGGUCUUGUCCAUCACAUCAUUCUCCUAAUGAUGUGAUCCCGUUAUCAACGACAUCCAAUGUCCAUAGUCAGGAAACCAUGACUAUCUGUUGAUCACAACGAGCUGGUCAACUAGAGGCUCACCAGGGACAUAUUGUGGUCUAAGUAUUCACACGUGUAUUACGAUUUCCGGAUAAUACAGUUAUAGCAUGAAUAAAAGACAUUUAUCAUGAACAUUGAAAUAUAAUAAUACUUUUAUUAUUGCCUCUAGGGCAUAUUUCCAACAGUCUCCCACUUGCACUAGAGUCACCAAUCUAGUUACAUUGUGAUGAAUCGAACACCCAUAGAGUUCUGGUGUUGAUCAUGUUUUGCACGCGAGAGAGGUUUAGUCAGCGGAUCUGCGACAUUCAGAUCCGUGUGCACUUUGCAAAUCUCUAUGUCUCCAUCUUGAACAUUUUCACGGAUGGAGUUGAAACGGCGCUUGAUGUGCCUGGUCUUCUUGUGAAAUCUGGGCUCCUUGGCAAGGGCAAUAGCUCCAGUGUUGUCACAGAAGAGUUUGAUCGGCCCUGACGCAUUGGGUAUGACUCCUAGGUCGGUGAUGAACUCCUUCACCCAAAUCGCUUCAUGCGCUGCCUCCGAGGCUGCCAUGUACUCCGCUUCACACGUAGAUCCCGCCACGACGCUCUGCUUGCAGCUGCACCAGCUUACUGCUCCACCAUUCAACAUAUACACGUAUCCGGUUUGUGACUCUGAGUCAUCCAGAUCUGAGUCGAAGCUAGCGUCGACGUAACCCUUUACGACGAGCUCUUCGUCUCUUCCAUAAACGAGAAACAUGUCCUUUGUCCUUUUCAGGUACUUCAGGAUAUUCUUGACCGCUGUCCAGUGUUCCUUGCCGGGAUUACUUUGGUAUCUAGCUACCAAACUUACGGCAAGGUUUACAUCGGGUCUGGUACACAGCAUGGCAUACAUAAUAGAUCCUAUGGCUGAAGCAUAGGGGAUGACACUCAUCUCUUCUUUAUCUUUUGCCGUGGUCGGUGACUGAGCCGAGCUCAAUCUCACACCUUGUAACAUAGGCAAGAACCCCUUCUUGGACUGAUCCAUUUUGAACUUCUUCAAAAUCUUAUCAAGGUAUGUGCUUUGUGAAAGACCUAUGAGGCGUCUCGAUCUAUCUCUAUAGAUCUUGAUGCCUAAUAUAUAAGCAGCUUCUCCAAGGUCCUUCAUUGAAAAACACUUAUUCAAGUAGGCCUUAAUGCUGUCCAGAAAUUCUAUAUUAUUUCCCAUCAAGAGUAUGUCAUCUACAUAUAAUAUGAGAAAUGCUACAGAGCUCCCACUCACUUUCUUGUAAACGCAGGCUUCUCCAUAAGUCUGCAUAAACCCAAACGCUUUGAUCAUCUCAUCAAAGCGAAUGUUCCAACUCCGAGAUGCUUGCACCAGUCCAUAAAUGGAUCGCUGGAGCUUGCAUACUUUGUUAGCGUUCCGAGGAUCGACAAAACCUUCCGGCUGCAUCAUAUACAGCUCUUCCUUAAGAUGCCCGUUAAGGAAUGCCGUUUUGACGCCCAUCUGCCAUAUCUCAUAAUCAUAGUAUGCGGCAAUCGCUAACAUGAUUCGGACGGACUUCAGCUUUGCUACGGGAGAGAAAGUCUCGUCGUAGUCAAUCCCUUGAACUUGUCGAUAACCUUUAGCGACAAGUCGAGUCUUAUAGAUGGUAACAUUACCAUCUGCGUCCGUCUUCUUCUUAAAGAUCCAUUUGUUUUCUAUCGCUCGCCGAUCAUCGGGCAAGUCUGUCAAAGUCCAUACUUUGUUUUCAUACAUGGAUUCUAUCUCGGAUUUCAUGGCUUCAAGCCAUUUGUUGGAAUCCGGGCCCGCCAUCGCUUCUUCAUAGUUCGAAGGUUCAUUGUUGUCUAACAACAUGAUUUCCAGGACAGGGUUGUCGUACCAUUCUGGUGCGGAACGUGUCCUUGUGGACCUACGAAGUUCAGCAGCAACUUGAUCCGAAGUACCUUGAUCAUCAUCAUUGUUUUCCUCUUCAGUUGGUGUGGGCAUCACAGGAACGGUUUCCUGCGCUGCGCCACUUUCCUGCUCAAGAGGUAGUACUUCAUCGAGUUCUACUUUCCUCCCACUUACUUCUUUCGAGAGAAACUCUUUUUCCAGAAAGCAUCCGUUCUUGGCAACAAAGAUCUUGCCUUCGGAUCUUAAGUAGAAGGUAUACCCGACAGUUUCCUUAGGGUAUCCUAUGAAUACGCAUUUUUCCGACUUGGGUUUGAGCUUUUCAGGUUGAAGUUUCUUGACAUAAGCAUCGCAUCCCCAAACUUUUAGAAACGACAGCUUAGCUUUCUUUCCAAACCAUAAUUCAUACGGUGUCGUCUCAACGGAUUUAGACGGUGCCCUAUUUAAAGUGAAUGUAGCUGUCUCUAGAGCGUAUCCCCAAAAUGAUAGCGGUAAAUCGGUAAGAGACAUCAUAGACCGCACCAUAUCCAAUAGGGUGCGAUUACGAUGUUCGGACACACCGUUUCGCUGAGGUGUUCCAGGCGGCGUGAGCUGUGAAACGAUUCCACAUUUCCUUAAGUGUGUACCAAAUUCGUGACUUAAGUAUUCUCCUCCACGAUCUGAUCGUAAGAAUUUUAUCUUUCGGUCACGUUGAUUCUCUACCUCAUUCUAAAAUUCCUUGAACUUUUCAAAGGUCUCAGACUUGUGUUUCAUUAAGUAGACAUACCCAUAUCUACUUAAGUCAUCAGUGAGAGUGAGAACAUAACGAUAUCCUCCGCGAGCCUCAACGCUCAUUGGACCGCACACAUCGGUAUGUAUGAUUUCCAACAAGUUGGUUGCUCGCUCCAUUGUUCCGGAGAACGGAGUCUUGGUCAUUUUGCCCAAAAGGCAUGGUUCGCACGUGUCAAACGAUUCAUAAUCAAGAGACUCUAAAAGUCCAUCGGCAUGGAGCUUCUUCAUGCGCUUGACACCAAUGUGACCAAGGCGGCAGUGCCACAAGUAUGUGGGACUAUCGUUAUCAACUUUAAAUCUUUUGGCAUCUACACUAUGAACAUGUGUAAUAUUACGCUCGAGAUUCAUUAAGAAUAAACCAUUGACCAUCGGAGCAUGACCAUAAAACAUGUCUCUCAUAUAAAUCGAACAACCAUUAUUCUCAGACUUAAAUGAGUAGCCAUCUCGUAUUAAACGAGAUCCAGAUACAAUGUUCAUGCUCAAACUUGGCACUAAAUAACAAUUAUUAAGGUUUAUAACUAAUCCCGUAGGUAAAUGUAGAGGCAGCGUGCCGACGGCGAUCACAUCGACUCUGGAACCAUUCCCGACGCGCAUCGUCACCUCGUCCUUCGCCAGUCUCCGUUUAUUCCGCAGCUCCUGCUGUGAGUUACAAAUAUGAGCAACGGCACCGGUAUCAAAUACCCAGGAGUUACUACGAGUACUGGUAAGGUACACAUCAAUCACAUGUAUAUCAAAUAUACCUUUGGUGUUGCCGGCCUUCUUAUCCGCUAAGUAUUUGGGGCAGUUCCGCUUCUAGUGACCCUUCCCCUUGCAAUAAAAGCACUCAGUCUCAGGCUUAGGUCCAUUCUUUGACUUCUUCCCGGUAACAGGCUUACCAGGCGCGGCAACAUCUUUGCCGUCCUUCUUGAAGUUCUUCUUACCCUUGCCCUUCUUGAACUUAGUGGUCUUAUUGACCAUCAACACUUGAUGUUCUUUCUUGAUUUCAGCCUCUGCUGACUUCAGCAUCGAGAACACUUCAGGAAUGAUCUUUUCCAUCCCCUGCAUGUUGUAGUUCAUCACAAAGCUCUUGUAGCUUGGUGGGAGCGACUGGAGGAUUCUGUCAAUGACCGCCUCAUCUGGGAGGUUAAUGUUCAGCUGGGUCAUACGGUUGUGCAACCCAGACAUCUUCAGGAUGUGCUCACUGACAGAACUGUUUUCCUCCAUCUUACAACUGUAGAACUUGUCGGAGACAUCAUAUCUCUCGAUCCGGGCAUGAGCUUGAAAAACUAGUUUCAGCUCUUCGAACAUCUCAUAUGCUCCGUGGUGCUCAAAACGCUUUUGGAGCCCCGGUUCUAAGCUGUAAAGCAUGCCGCACUGAACGAGGGAGUAAUCAUCAGCACGAGACUGCCAAGCAUUCAUAAUGUCUUGGUUCUCUGGGACGGGAGCGUCACCUAGCGGUCCUUCUAGGACAUAUUGUUUCCUGGCAGCUAUGAGGAUGAUCCUCAGGUUCCGGACCCAGUCCGUAUAGUUGCUACCAUCAUCUUUCAGCUUGGUUUUCUCUAGGAACGCGUUGAAGUUUAUGUUGAUAUUAGCGUUGGCCAUUGAUCUACAAGACAUAUUUGCAAAGGUUUUAGACUAAGUUCAUGAUAAUAAAGUUCUAAUCAAAUUAUGAACUCCCACUUAGAUUAGACAUCCCUCUAGUCAUCUAAGUGUUACACGAUCCGAGUCGACUAGGCCGUGUCCGAUCAUCACGUGAGACGGACUAGUCAUUGUCGGUGAACAUUCUCAUGUUGAUCGUAUCUUCCAUACGACUCGUGUUCGACCUUUCGGUCUCCGUGUUCCGAGGCCAUGUCUGCACAUGCUAGGCUCGUCAAGUUAACCCUAAGUGUUUUCGCUGUGUAAAACUGUCUUACACCCGUUGUAUGUGAACGUAAGAAUCCAUCACACCCGAUCAUCACGUGGUGCUUAGAAGCGACAAACUGUAGCAAUGGUGCACAGUUAGGGGAGAACACUUCUUGAAAUUUUAUAAGGGAUCAUCUUAUUUACUACCGUCGUCCUAAGUAAACAAGAUGCAUAAACAUAAUAAACAUCACAUGCAAUUAUAUAGUUGUGACAUGAUAUGGCCAAUAUCAUAUAGCUCCAUUGAUCUUCAUCUUCGGGGCUCCAUGAUCAUCUUGUCACCGGCUUGACACCAUGAUCUCCAUCAUCGUGUCUUCAUGAAGUUGUCACGCCAACGACUACUUCUACUUCUAUGACUAACGUUUAGCAAUAAAGUAAAGUAGUUUACAUGGCGUUAUUCAAUGACACGCAGGUCAUACAAAAAAUAAUGACAACUCCUAUGGCUCCUGCCGGUUGUCAUACUCAUCGACAUGCAAGUCGUGAAUCCUAUUACAAAGAACAUGAUCUCAGACAUCACAAUUCAUCAUUCAUCACAACUUCUGGCCAUAUCACAUCACAUGAUCAAUCGCUGCAAAAACAAGUUAGACGUCCUCUAAUUGUUGUUGCAUCUUUUACGUGGUUGCAAUUGGGUUCUAGCAAGAACGUUUUCUUACCUACGAAACACCACAACGUGAUUUUGUCAACUUCUAUUUACCCUUCAUAAGGGCCCUGUUCAUCGAUUCCGCUCCAACUAAAGUGGGAGAGACAGACACCCGCCAGCCACCUUAUGCAACUAGUGCAUGUCAGUCGGUGGAACCGGUCUCACGUAAGCGUACGUGUAAGGUUGGUCCGGGCCGCUUCAUCCCACAAUACCGCCGAAGCAAGAAAAGACUAGUAGAGGCAAGUAAGAUGAUAAAAUCCACGCCCACAACAAAAUUGUGUUCUACUCGUGCAAAGAGAACUACGCAUAGACCUAGCUCAUGAUGCCACUGUUGGGGAACGUUGCAGAAAAUUAAAAAUUUUCCUACGGUUUCACCAAGAUCCAUCUAUGAGUUCAUCUAAGCAACGAGUCAAGGGAGAGAGUUUGCAUCUACAUACCACUUGUAGAUCGCGUGCGGAAGCUUGCAAGGUGAUGAUGUAGUCGUACUCGACGUGAUUCGAAUCACCGAUGACCAAGCGCUGAACGGACAGCACCUCCGCGUUCAACACACGUACGGGACGGGAGACGUCUCCUCCUUCUUGAUCCAGCAAGGGGGAAGGAGAGGUUGAGGAAGACAGCUCCACCGGUAGCACGACGGCGUGGUGAUGGAGGAGAGGCAGUACUCCGACAGGGCUUCGCCAAGCACACAACGGAGGAGGAGAGGUGUUGGGGAGGGGAGGGCUGCGCCUUGGAGGAUGGUGCGGCUGCCCUCCCCUCACCCCUCUAUUUAUAGGGGGAAGGGAGAAGGGGGCCGGCCCCCUAGAACCCAUCUAGGGGGGUGCGGCGGCCAAGGGGAGAGGGGGAGAGGGUGGCUUGCCCCCCAAGCCAAGGGGGGCGCCCCCUCUAGGGUUCCCCCUCAACCCUAGGCGCAUGGGCCCAAGGGAGGGGGGUGCGGCCAGCCCACCAGGGGCUGGCUCCCUGCCCCACGCAGCCCAUGUGGCCCCCCGGGAGGGGUGGCCCCUCCCGGUGGACCCCCGGAACCCUUCCGGUGGCCCCGGUACAAUACCGGUAUGACCCCGAAACUUCCCGGUGUCCGUUUAACAACUUCCCAUAUAUAAAUCUUUACCUCCGGACCCUUCCGGAUCUCCUCGUGACGUCCAGGAUCCCAUCCGAGACUCCGAACAACAUUCGGUAGUCACAUACUAGUCUUCCUAAUAACCCUAGCGUCACCGAACCUUAAGUGUGUAGACCCUACGGGUUCGGGAGACAUGCAGACAUGACCGAGACGCUCUCAGGUCAAUAACCAAUAGCGGGAUCUGGAUACCCAUGAUGGCUCCCACAUGCUCCUCGAUGUUGUCAUCGGAUGAACCACUAUGUCGAGGAUUCGAUCAAACCCUGUAUGCAAUUCCCUUUGUCAAUCGGUACGUUACUUGCCCGAGACUCGAUCGUCGGUAUCCCAAUACCUUGUUCAGUCUCAUUACCGGCAAGUCACUUUACUCGUACUGUAAUGCAUGAUCCCAUGUCCAACACCUUGGUCACAUUGAGCUCAUUAUGAUGAUGCAUUACCGAGUGGGCCCAGAGAUACCUCUCCGUCAUACGGAGUGACAAAUCCCAGUCUCGAUCCGUGUCAACCCAACAGAUACUUUCGGAGAUACCUGUAAUGCACCUUUAUAGUCACCCAGUUACGUUGUGACGUUUGAUACACCCAAGGCACUCUUACGGUAUCCGGGAGUUACACGAUCUCAUGGUCGAAGGAAGAGAUACUUGACACUGGCAAAGCUCUAGCAAAACGAACUACACGAUCUUUUAUGCUAUGCUUAGGAUUGGGUCUUGUCCAUCACAUCAUUCUCCUAAUGAUGUGAUCCCGUUAUCAACGACAUCCAAUGUCCAUAGUCAGGAAACCAUGACUAUCUGUUGAUCACAACGAGCUGGUCAACUAGAGGCUCACCAGGGACAUAUUGUGGUCUAAGUAUUCACACGUGUAUUACGAUUUCCGGAUAAUACAGUUAUAGCAUGAAUAAAAGACAUUUAUCAUGAAUAUUGAAAUAUAAUAAUACUUUUAUUAUUGCCUCUAGGGCAUAUUUCCAACAUUGGCGUGGGCAGGAGCCAUUGCUGAGGUUUACGGUGAGAGGGGCUGAAGCCAGGACUGGAGAGGCGGCACCGGUGUGAACCCUGGGGCCGCGGUGUCAUUGGGGAGCCGCAUCCUAGGAGGUGGCCGAGUCGGCGUCAACGCGACCUCGAGGGGCAAGCACCUCUGGGUCGGUGUCCGACGACAACAAAGGAGUGCGGCGACGACGUCCAUAGGGCAGAUACUCCUCUCCUCUUCGUGGACGGAGCGAGAGGACAGGUACGGAGGUUAUAGGUGCCUACACUUUUAUACAAAAAAAAUCGGAUAGACACUGGUAUGAAAAGCAGUCCGGAUCAGCACCGAUAGAAAAGAAGUCGGAUGUGUGCGGGACGACGUAGAAGACCUGGCAUAGCACGGACGACGGACGACCUGGCAUAGUUGGACACGGAAAGAAAGAGGAUUUACCUUCUCAGGUUUUUCUUAUAUACAUAUAAACAUAGAUAGAUUAGUACCACCUUGGAUUUUGGAAAAAAUAUAGACAUAUUGAAAAAAAACUGAAAGCGUAAAUUCACAGGAAGAAGCGUAUUGUGACGGUGAAUCCACGGAGUCAAUCCAUGCUUUAUUAUUAUAUAUAUAUAUAUGUAUAUAUAUAUAUAUCACCGUCACAAUACGCUUCUUCCCGUGAUUUUACGCUUUCAAUUUUUUUUCACUUUCAAUUUUUUUCACCUAUAUUAUUUUCCACAUCCGAGAUGAUACUAUUCAUCUUUCUGCCACGAUUUUCGUCCGUCUGUUGUUUCUAUAUAUAAUUAUUUUCCCGCGUGACAGGCCAUCCAAAAUUUUGAUAGCCGGCCCACCUGAUAUGUGAAUGGGCACAAAAAUUAAAAAUUAUAUGCUGAAUUUUUGAUAGCCGGCCCACCUGAUAUGUGAAUGCGCGCAAAAAUUAAAAAUUAUAUGCUGAGGAUUCGAACGCCGGCGGCCAGAAAAGUGCAUAGAGCAAACCACCAACUCAGCUGGUACAUUGUAUAUUUAUAAAAACAAGGAUUACCCUCUUACUCUACCAAGCCAGAAGGGGCCACAUUAUUCCGUCCCACCCGAAGGAAGCCACACUACCGAACGGGCGAGGCUGGCCCACAACCUGGUGCAAUAAAUAGUCCCAUACCGCUCUCUUAAACUCAGUCUUUGUAAUUUAUAUACAUCUUUGAGUUUUCUCGGUAUCAAGGAGCCAUCUCGGAAAUCAAUAAAGAAGGAAAGAAGUCCUUUCAUAAUAAGGAAGGAAAGAGAGAAAAACAAAGAAGGAAAGAAGAGGGAUUUCAUGACAGAAUAAGAAAGAAAAGAGAGAAAAAUAAAUAAGGAAAGAGGGCGGGUUCACCGUCACAAUACGCUUCUUCCCGUGAAUUUACGCUUUCAAUUUUUUUUUCACUUUCAAUUUUUUUUCACCUAUAUUAUUUUCCACAUCUGAGAUGAUACUAUUCAUCUUUCUGCCACGAUUUUCGUCCGUCUGUUGUUUCCAUAUAUAAUUAUUUUCGCGCGUGACAGGCCAUCCAGAUUUUUGAUAGCCGGCCCACCUGAUAUGUGAAUGGGCGCAAAAACUAAAAAUUAUAUGCUGAGGAUUCGAACGCCAGCUGCCAGAAAAGCGCAUAGAGCAAACCACCAACUCAGCUGGCACAUUGUAUAUUUAUAAAAACAAGGAUUACCCUCUUACUCUACCAAGCCAGGAGGGGCCACAUUAUUCUGUCCCACCCGAAGGAAGCCACACUACCGAACGGGCGAGGCUGGCCCACAACCUGGUGCAAUAAAUAGUCCCAUACCGCUUUCUUAAACUUAGUCUUUGUAAUUUAUAUACAUCUUCGAGUUUUCUCGGUAUCAAGGAGCCAUCUCGGAAAUCAAUAAAGAAGGAAAUAAGUCCUUUCAUAAUAAGGAAGAAAAGAGAGAAAAACAAAGAAGGAAAGAAGAGGGAUUUCAUGACAGAAUAAGAAAGAAAAGAGAGAAAAAUAAAUAAGGAAAGAGGGCGGGUUGAUGGCAGACUAAGGAAAGAAAGAGGGAGAAAAAUAAAGAAGGAAAGAGGGCGGGUUGAUGGCGGAAUAAGGAAAGAAAGAGGGCCGGUAUUUCAUCUCUAGACAGAAAAAAAUGGAAAGUUUCCCAUAAAUAAUAAGGUAAGGAAGGAAAAUAUAUAAAACUAAAAAAAAGGAAAGAGAGGGUCUCCAAAUGGGAUAUAAUGGCACUAAACGUCUUCGUGCAUGCAUCAGGCAAGUUGAACUACUUUUUAUAUCUAAAUUGACAUCAAAUUAUAACUUAAUAGCAAAUUAUGUUGGAGUUGUUUAACAUGCGCAAAAAAAUACUAUGUCUAAAUCAUAAUAAACAUGACUCAUUCUAUGUUGGUCAUGUACAAUAUUUUUCUGAGAACAAAACAUUUGCUCUUAUUUUUCUGCUCGACACGCUAGCGCCCAUCACAAACUCUUAGAGUGCUCCUAAUAAAAAUAAUUUUGGUCACCAAAGCACAAGCAAUUGGACUACGUGUUGUGUGUAACACAAACUCCGCACUGAUGGAGGAUCUUUGUACAAUGCUCAUAAUAUCAUUGCCCCGCAAAAAAUGCUUCUAAUAUCAUUGGACACAAAUAGCGCUAUGCUACCCAGUCCCUAAACCUAGCCAACACUGGUUCAUGGAAAUCUUUGUUGCCUCCGUAGUGAAGCAAGAAUGUUGUACUAAGACUUUACUAUUUUUAUUAUAGUGCGAUAUUUUUUGGGCAUCACUAAGCAACGUCAAAAAAUCCCUGAAGAGAUACUCGCGACCAGGUAGAUAUUUCUGUGAUUUAAAUUGCACGCACCUACAGUAUACUUACGAAUUCCUUUCACGGUUAUGUUUUGCACAACACAUCUUUUCAUGUGUGUUUAUCAUGUGGCAGUGUGCAAGAUUUCAAAGAGUUUACUGAUGUCAUCAUGUGUGGUAGUCGGUCGUGGGAGGAGGAGGAGGGGGAAGGGUCUUGAGCUAUCGGGUUUAUGAAGUAUGGUUUUGUUCUUCUCCCGCUGCAACGCACGGGCAUUUGUGCUAGUUUUAUAAUAAAACAUGGAUUGACUCCGUGGGUUCACUGUCACAAUACGCUUUUUUCUCAUGUCAUAAUACGCUUUUAUGAUUUAUAUAGACAAAAUUGUAAUAUAAACGAGGUGGUACUAAUUCGGGGAGUCGUGCGUCGUCAAACGUUUCGUGAUCCCAACCCGCACCCGAGCCAGAGCAAACCCUACCCGAGCGAAUCCUCCCGCACACCCUGCCUCCACCGCACCCAUCGUCCCCAAUCCUGCGCCGCCGCCCCCGUCGCCCAAACUUCCACGGCCCAUCACCUCCACACGCCGCCGAGCUGCAGCGCCGGCAGCUGCCACUGCCGCAGCCUCGCAGGGUUGGGGACGAAGGGCACAACCUAGCCAAGGGACGGCCAUGGAGGGCAGCAGGCACGAGAAGGGGAGCCAAAGGGAAGGAAGGAGGGCGGCGCGACGGCUGAAAGCUUCACCGAAACCAGGCGGACGGCGGCGCUUCCGCGCGAGGCAUGACGGGGGGUAGGGGCGGGCCUCCCCGACCUUCGAUCCCCUCGCUUCAACGGCGGCGGCACCCCGUCCUUUUCUAAGGCUUGCAACCACGUCCAGCUCGACGUCCUGUGCUUCGGGGAUGGUGGCGCUUCUGCUCCUCGUGCGGGAGGAUGAUGCAAAAUCGUGGAUGAAGUUCGGGAACUCCUGGUCUUGACCGACGCCCUCUGCUCCGGUCCCCGACACAGCAACCAGAUCGUGGGUGCCAUCCUGCCCUAAGGUUACAUGCACUACCUGUCUCUCCUUGAUCUGAUCUCUCAAAGUCCCGAUCUAUUUCAGCAAAACUAUCUUCUAUCUAUUUGAUACUCUUUUUUGGUAAACAGUUUUAACCUAUUGUAAUUGCUCUCAUUCUGGAGCGAGGUCACUAUUGACAAGUCAUUGCAGUGCUACUACCGCAUUAAUCUUAGCAGUGAAGCUAUGGUCUGUUCUUUGGUACAACAAUGAAAUGUUAAUAUGCCAUUCUCCUUUAUGCUUUGUGUCAGUGCACUGUGGUAUGACACCAACACUUAUUUGGCACCUACAUUGCAUCGACAAUUUGCCAGCUUACAGUUUGUACCAUCGAGAAUUUGCACGACUUUACACCUGCAGCUGUACCACUAUACUAUAAAUAUGUUUUGAUGUCUAAACUGGUGUUGGUACUGAACCUGAUAGUGUAUUUGGCGUAUCUUUUCUGUAGAAUUAGUACCAGAGUUCUAUUUGUAGUAUUAUUAAUAGUAAAGAGAUAAUUAGACCAUAGAGUCGCUUUUGAUUUGGUUUAUUCCUUCAGAUCAUGCAAUAGAUGUAAGCACACAUUUAAGUACUUUAUCUUAUUACAAAAACUGAACAAAGAUAUACCAGCAAUACGUUUCAUGACGUAGUGUUAUCUGUGCAAGAAAAUUGCUUGAAUGAUUAUUAAUCAAUAUAAGCAAUCUAUCAUGUAGGUUUUGUUCGAUCCUACACUUAAAGAAAAUCAUACUGAAGAUCUGAGCUUAAGUGUUCCAACAGCUGAAGCACCAGCUCAAGAUGAAAGGAUCCUCUUAAUAUGAUUGUAGGUCCAUUCCUGUAAAGUGCAGUUAGAAUAUGGAAUCCACCUGGAACUUGGUUUUAAAAACAGAAAGCAUAUGGAAUUUUGAGGUUUCUGCUUUCUAUGUGAGUAUCUUGGUGCAUGCUUGUUUCUGAAUAAAAUGCAGAGGUCAUGAACAAAUUAAAACAUGCUCUCUGAUGGGCAAGGGUAGGUUUAUUUUUAGUUGAAGUGGUAUCAGUUGUAUACUUAUAUACACGCCAUUUGAAAAAUAGUAUGUAUCUCCUUGCAAACUACUACGUAUUAUUUAAAUGUUUUACAUAAGACUGUCCGUCCAGAUACAAUAACUAUUUAGUAUUUUAAUAACUUGAAUUGCACGGCUUGAUCGCUCUGCUUGGGUCUUCUCUUAUGUAUGAGUCACCAUGUGCGGGUUAAAUAAGUGCCCCAGCUUCGGUGAUGCACGGGCGAGGCAACACGAUUUGGUGCAGUGGCCCUCCUUCCAAGAAAUCAAGUUUUUACGUUCAGAUUUUAGAGCUCUUGAGUUUCAGCUUAGUUCAAGGAUAUAAAAGCAUACUCCUUAUGGAUUCAACGAGGAAGACCAUUAGCCACCACCUUUUUAGAAUUGGAUGGUGUGGUGCACCUUCAUCCUGCUGUCCAAUUUCUUAGCUUAUUUGCUUUAAAUGUACUACAGUAUAUAGCAGUAUAAGGAUCCAAUCUUGUGACGCCUCUCCAUUUGCACCAUCGUCAAAAGUUGCACAUGAGUUGAUUCAGACUUUCAGAGUUUUCAUAGAACACCUAGAGUUAAUCAGCCUGAAGGUAUAUCAGAUCCUAUGGAAAGGGGAUCCGGUUCAGAUUUGUCACUACUGUGUGUUGUUGGAUAGCCAUGGUGUGUAUUAGUUUGUUUUUACCACAGUUCGGUUCUUGGUAGUUAGGAUAUCAGGUGUAUACAUUACUUUUCUUAUGAAUUUUUUCUCUUUUAGUGCACUAUCUAUCUAUCUAUCUAUCUAUCUAUCUAUCUAUCUAUCUAAGUUUUCAAAGAAAUUGAUGGCGGUGGCUCAGAGGCGUCGUGGUGAAUGGUGAAGCUUCUAAAAUGGAUGGAAGAGAGGUGGUGACUUGCGGCUGGGAGACGUACAUAUUUGAGGAGAUACGAUUCAUAAGGUUUCAUAUUAACAAAAAAUGAUGAUCUUUGUAAAGUAAUCCGAACAUUUUGUUGAUUCUGGGACAAUUUUAUUCUCCAAUAUGAAUCCGUAAGAAAAGAUAUGACAAUACAUUUGUGCAAAUUGAUAAUGUAAGCUCAUCUCGGAACUUUAUUCUUUUUCUAAGAUUGAUUUACUUGGUGGUGCUAGCUUCCAUUCUGUCAAAACAGGACAUGUGUGCUAUUUCUGAAAAAGGAAGCUUCUCUGUUGGCUGGCAUCCCUGAUGGUGCCUUUAGAUAUGUAGGAAAAGAAAUGGUAUCUCAUAAUUCACUGGAUGUAGACCAGUAGGGUCAAUUACAAAUUGUUGGCUGUAAAUUACUUUCAGUUUCUAGCUUUCAUAAAAAAAUUAGACAUGUACUGUUUAAUUAAAAUUGUGUGAGUAUGUUGUGGUUGAUGGUGGUCCUAUGUGCUGGUUCAAAUUAUCAUGUUGGAUAAUAUUGCUUUUACUAGCAGUUGCAGUGCUCUUAUUAUUAUUUUUCACAAAUAUCAUCAUGUUUUGCUAUUGAUGUAAUGCUAUAUUCUUUGACUGAAAUCAAACCCUUUAGUUGCUAUUUUGGUGCUUUUAUUAUUGUGUGUGUAUUCAAUAAUGGCUUCAGUUUCAAUUAAAAUCGUUAACUGGACUGCCAUGAUUGCGGUGGCGUAUUAUUCGGCAAAAAGUAUGUUGCCUUUUAAUAUUUU